AGAUUUUGGAGGUUUAGAGGAUCAAGGAGCUCUCCAACAAUAAGGAUCUUGGGAGGAGCUUGGGCUAAGGUAAGUUUUACUAUAAAGCCCAUCUAGGGUUUGGAUUUCACCCUAGGUUUUGGGAGUUUUGAGUUUGUUUCUAGCUUUAGAAACCUUUUGAGGCUUGAGCACCAUGAAAAUCAUGGAAACUCAAUGUCCUCUCAUGGUGGUUAUCUAGGGAUCAUGUUAGAUGCCCUAGGAAUGAUACGAAUAGCUUAGAAAUGGUAUUAGAGAGUUUCCUAGAUGAUUCUAAGCUAGAAUUUGCGUAGUUACAAGAUCAAUCUAGGAAAAAUCCCUAUAUGACAUUGUUAGGGCAUGAAUUUUGGGACUUUUGCCUCCGGGUGUUUUCAAGGUAAAUUGACCCCUUGGAAACCUAAUUAGGAGUAUUUUCGACGCGUGGGACAACUCCGUUCGUCGACUAGAUAUGAGUUUGUAGUAUAAAGCCUAAUUUGGCUCUAAAAUUAUUGUAGAUCGCCGUAGCACACGGGAUCGGAGUUCGUAGAGUACGAGGAUCGAACCACAACUUCCCUACUAUCAUUCGAGGUGGGGGGUGCACGCCGGAAUCGUUGGAUUCCCUUCUAUAUCGAUUUCACCUUUCAUUUGAGCAUUAUGUCAAUAGUCAUUCAUGCAUAUUAGGGUAGUUUACAUGUGAAUAAUGGUUUAAUUUUAUUUAUAUGCUUCUAAUGUAGUUGAACAUGGAAAAUGAUUUGAGCCAUAGUGGACAUGUAUGUUGGGACCCUAAACUUGUAUGAAUGUGAGACUUUGUCCAAGAUAAUAGUAAAUAAAUGUGACAUUGACAUUAGAGAUAUGAUUGGCAUUGAGACAUGAAUCGUUAAACAAGGUUUAACUAUUAGUGGCCUUAUGACAAGAAUGACUUAGAAAGUGACAUGAACAAAUAGGUAGAAACCUAUUAUGAUAGUGGUAUUAUGGCUAGUGGCUAUACAUUUCCUAAGUGGGAAUUGGAUCGAUACUUACGAUAAGUCUUGGCUUGAGGGAGGUAGCUCCUCCUCAAGCGGUGCGUUCCGGAAUUGUCACCACGGGGAGCACGGUUCCCGAAGACGGUCCCUCGGGUCUUGUAGUGCUUAGAGCUUCCCCGAAUGAAAGGGAUUUUGGGUUAUGAGUUAUUGGGGUUAACAAGGUUAACCGGUAAGAUUGGGUAAAAGCCAAGGUAAAGUUAUGGAAAAGAGCAUGCAUGCAUAAUCAUUCAUAUUUGAUUAUAUAUAUCCACUGACAGCUUUCUUGCAGGCAUAGUAUUAGCAUUAGUAUUGGCUACUUUUCUCUUUCUUUCAAAUACUUAUGCUGGAAUAGACCUAGUGGGUAAGUCGGCGAGGUCGGUUGCCGAACCAACUGGGAACUUCGUUGUAGUUCUCACACCACUAACCCUACAGAUCCGAGCGCGAGCGGGGCGGCGGAGGAUCGAAGCAAGGGUAUCGCGCCAUAGCUAGUGGCCACCGGAGUACUUGCAUUUUAGUCAUUCCCUUUUUGGUUCAUGUAUCAACUUUUAUUUUGUUGAUUUAUAGAUGUAAAAGUUGAAAACAAUUCAUAUAUUUUGGAGAAUCAUUAUGAUGUAAAAAGAAAUUAUGAAUAAAAGCAAAUGGAUAUAAUAGUUUUAGUUUACUAGUAUUUGGUUUAAAUGUAAUCAAAUAUUAUAUAUGGUUGUAUGUUUUAGCUUAGAGCUUUCGCUUUCGUUGUUGCUUGCCCUCGCGCAAGCCUUAUAUAAUUGGAAAUCUCUUUGUUUGAUUGCUUAAUUAUACUUGUGGUUGGAGCCUUGGGCGGGCAGGGGAGGCCCUAUCCGUUCGGCGUCUGUUGACGUGGCCCGAACCCGACCAAAUUGGCAGGGAGCGGGGUGUGACAUGAGGUCAAGGGUUGUGCACGUAAUGGCGAGGGUUGUUCAUGUGAUGUCGAGGGUUGUGCACGUGAGGUCGAGGGUUGUGCACGUGACGUUGAGGGUUGCGCACAUUGAGACUGACUCUGUCUGCAGUAUUAUAAUUGAGAUUUAUUAAAAUAUUUAAUAAUUAAAAAAAAUAUUCACCAAAAUCUAGAGAUAUCACUUACUUUGUUAUCUUGACGCCUGGUUCGUUACCAAUUUCGCGGUCACCAAUUAGGUUAUUCGAAAAAACCACAUCGAUAUCAUUAUGAAGUAGUCUUGUGCGCAUCUUACGACUGAUUUUGUAUCUCUGACAGAUAUAAAUCUUUCUCGAUGUAUACCGACACACGUCCAUAAUAUUCAAACAAUCCAAUUAAUCCCUCCAAUGAUUCAUCAUUUACUAUAUCGUGAGCUAUAUAUUCAUUCGCUCCCGUAGGGCAUCGAAUUGUGAAUUUAAGACGAUAUUCUUCUCUACUACAAUUAGCUAAAUGAUACAUUCUCGUCUCAAAAUUAGUAUAUGCCGUAUCUGAACGAAUCACGAUCAAUUUCUUUCGACCGCCGACAUAUUGGGGACCAUUUUCAUCCAUAACUAACUGUCCAUCCCAAUGAACACUUAGAGACAUCCGACGACUAGCUCUUUUAACUAUAAAAAAAAAAACUUUCAAAGAGCUAAGGGAUCACAUGGAUGCUUCUCUACCACACACAAAAUUCCAACAAAGAGUUUUGACAAGGAAGAGCUCAUAUUUAUUGAAAAGUUGUAUCUAAUCAAGAAUACUACUACUAUUUCCAACAGAAAAAAUAGUUAAUCAUUCUAAACCUAGUUUUUACACCGAUUGUAAAAUUGGCAAACGGUUAACUAUUCUAAACCUAGUUUUUACACCAAUUAUAAAUUGGCAAUAGGUUAACAUUCACUCGAUGGCUAAUGGCUUAACCUACUUUAAACUUAGUUUUUACAAGUCUAACUUGCUACCACAAUGCCAACAAUGCCAACAAUACUAACAAUGCCAUGGAGUUGAUAGCCAACAAUAGCUAAUUGAGUAAUAAAAUUAAAUAAAAACCUAACUUAAUUAACUAAAAACUUUAAGUAAAGAUUUUGAGAAAAUCCAACAAGUAGCAAUGGAGCUACCUGAAAUGUGGGUUGCUGAGAGAGGUUGGCAGAGGCGGUAGAUGCGGGGGGCGACUGUAGUACUGUCACGCCCCGGGACCGGCGGAGGCCCUCCCGGUAGCGUGCCCAGACCCGCCAUAUGUCUACACAUAUAAGGCGUCUACAAUNGCAGUUCAAACUGCUCAGAAUCUGCACUGCGUACCGGUACACGGGCCCGCGUACCGGUACACCUUCUACGAAAACGCCCAGCCCGAGCCUCGGGUUGGCUGAGAAGCGGCCAAAGUCGAUGGCUGUACCGGUACAGCCAUCACUCCCGUACCGGUACACAGCCCUCUGAAGGCAACCCGAGAGCUAACCAAAAAUACGAUUUUUCGGGUUUUCGUGCUCGGCCUUAAACCUCACUUCUCGGGACUCGAACCAUGGGUCGGAACACUGUCUACGACCCUUCAGAAAGUCUGAGAUGGCUCGUCACACGGAUCAAACACUCGAAUCUCGCAAUUUCCAAAGGUCCAGUAUGUCACAAGUACAUUGAACUUUAGCAAAUUACAAAGUUCGAGUGUUAGAAUAGUAAUUGGAACUAUUCUAGAUUUUGUGAGGGGUUGUCGAGAGAUUUUCGGCAUGUUACUUGACUGAUCAAGUGGCCGGAAGAGCGAAAGUGCAUUGAAGUUGCGAAAUUCUGUAUUUUGCACUAAGUACCGGUACCCCUAUGCCCGAGUACCGGUACCCAAUACAGCAGCUACGUGGAUUGAGAUUGUUUUGGUAAUUUCACUUCAAAACUUAUCCUUUUAAGCUUCUGGUCGACUCCUCCCAGCUGGUUCUUAUCCUGAUUGAGCUGAAGAACAGGGUAAGACUUGUUCUCUUUCUCUCUCUAAGGUUUUGAGGUCUUUUUGAGUAGAAUUGAGGAUUUAAGCUUGUUUUCUUCUCCUCUCUUGUUGUUUGCUUGUUGGGUGGGUUUGGAGCUGUUAUAGAAGGGUGGAAAGAAGAGUUUUGGAGGUGUUUCUCUGUUCUAACUCAACAGGUAACUGAGUUGAAGUUUGGUGAGGUGAGGAAUCCAACUUCUCUCUAGUUUGAGGUAUUAGUAGUGGAUUUGAGCUUGUGCUUUGCUUCUUUGCUGCCAGCUGGUUUGGGAAAGCUUGUAGCAGCUGUAGAGGAGGUGUUUUGGCUGUGAUUCUUCAAUCCUAACUCAGUUGAAACUGAGUUGGAGCUUUAGAAGGUAAACUAGCUACUAUUUCACUAGUUUUGAUGUUGUAAUAGAUGUUUUAUUAGAGUUCGUGGGGUUAAUUCACAGCAGGUUUAUGAAACCCUUUUGGUUAAGGUUCGGUGACUUUCGUAGGUUGGUUUUGAAGUACUUCAACCUGAAUUGAAGUGGAGUUGAGGUUUGGAUGCUAUACUAAGUAUGAAUCUACCUAUAUGAGAUACUUAUGUGAGGUUUUUAGUAAAGGUUGUAACUACGCUCCUGGCUGAUUUUAGUAUGGUUGUUAGGAUGCUUGGAGGCUAGCGAACACCUUCGUUUGCGGGAUCGACAAGAGUCAACAGCAAUUCGGUGGGUUUGAUCUUACCGAAAUGGAUGAAUUCUCCCUAUGUCUACUUUGAUAUUAUGAUAUUGAAAUUCUUACAUAUUCAUGUUGAAUAUAUCUUGAAUGGGGUUAUGCUUGCAUAAUAUAUGCAUAGUAGAGGAAGGAUUAUGUAUAGUAUGUUUGCAUAUUACAUGCAUGGUAUGUAAAGUAAAGUUAACCUCUAUGUAGUAGAGGAAAGGUCUUGGAACUUUCUUAGUAUGCAUAGGUCACUUGCUCGUUUAGCAUGUAUUCAUGAUACUAGCAAACUUGUGUAGACAAGUAUGACGUCAUUCAAUAGUGAACAGCUGUAAAGCUAUGAAUAUGAUACUUAGUUUGAUUGCACAACUAAGUAAAUAAUGUAUUAUAGUGUUUUACCUUUGAGUUAAAUCAUGCAAUUCCAUAUUGUAGACAUGAUGAUAGAGCUUCUAGCAUAUCCUGUAUAGUGGAGUUACCUACAUAUACAUUUAUAUAGUAGAAUAACUUGUGGAGGAAUCACGUAUAGCGUACCUUAUAUGAUAUUUUGCAUACUUGUGUUGACAAGUUGGUUAUCGCUUUCACAUGGUAGAACUAGCAUGAAUUUCGUGUUCUUAUAUAUGAUCUAGUUAAGUAACCAGAACGAGAUAUUAUGACAUGAUAUGAACAUAUACUAUUGAAUAUGACCUAGUUAAAUAACUAGAAUUGGAUAUGAUGGUAUAUUUGUGUAGUCAAGUAGAAGCAAUUGCAUAAUACUUGUUUACUCUAUGUAGUGGAGGUUUAUGUAGAGAUAUAAAAUAUGUGCCAUGAAUUGUAUGAAACCAGAAUGAGUCAUUGAGUAUGACCUUAGUAAACCACUUUCCUUAUGUGUAAGGAGUAGCGAGAGGACUAUAUGUGUGUAUGCGGGUCUAGCCCGUUAGAAUCAUUCAUAUGAUGUAAACCAUGUACUUGUUUAAGUCAUACUAUUUAUUGGUAGAAAUAUGUCACCAAGUAGGGGAUAGUGGAAUUUGACUUAUUGUUAAUGGUCGACCUUGUGUCAAAGAUGAAAUUCUAUGUUAGAGACAUGAUGAACUUGUGAACACUAUACUAUGGAUUACGCUUGCUUGCCAAUGUGCUCAUUCGCACAUGCUUGUGAGGGUCGCGCCCCACAAGCCGGCACUUCGGAGUUGGCCUACGCAACAGCAGAUCGCUUCUACGAGACUGAGCGCCGAAGUGGAUUGCCGUGGGUAGUGUUGACUUUCACGAGGCCAUUAGGCACGGCACGAGCCGGGACUUUACCACGUGUAAGUCUCUUAUUACUUCGGUUAAUGUAAAUGAGUUUAACCUUAGAUGGACAUAGUAGUCAUUAGAUAUAACGACAUUACUUGUAUGAUUACACUCCAGUUAGUGUAGGAAGAUAGCUACAUUUUGUCAUUAGCUAGUUAAACUAUAAUGACGAUGUUCUACAAGAAUCUUGACAUAUAGCUGAUUAAAUUGAUAAUUAGCAUGACUAGAAUUUGUAUAUGAUGAACUAGUACAUAAGACAUGUUAGAAAGCACAUCUUGUUGAGUCAUGUUUAUAGUUAAUUUUCUUUAUCUAUUUGUGGUAUUUACAUUUCUUACUUAUUGUUGUUUACUCAUGCCUCAGUUCACCUAGUGGUGUACUUCACCAUUCUCGGCGGCUUACUCACUGGGAACUUUUGUUUAAUAGUUCUCACGCCCUUUUGUUGGUUGUUUUUGUACAAAACCUUCCACAACGGGAAAGGCUAGGGUUCCGGGCAAGGGGUCAGCGACUAGCUAGAGCCUUCUCGAUGUUAAAUAGAUGAACCCAUACAAGCUUAUUCUAGUUUAAUUCAAAGAUGUAUAUUGGAACUGUUAGAAUGUACUUUACUUUUAAGUUGUAAUUUGGCUUUGUAUUGAUAUCAACUUAUGCACUUUAAGUGUUGCUCUGAUUACCUGGUUAAGAUAUUAUGCUUUUGCUAUAUAUGUUGAUUGUAGACGCCUGGUGUACACUUGAGGUUGCCGUGUACAUGGCGGGUCUGUGCACGUGACUGGUGAGCUUCCGCUGAAGUCCAGGGCAUGACAGCGACAGUGACCGGCGGGGCUACGGCGGCAGGGGCGGCGGCGACCAGGGAGGGUUACUGGAGAGGAAGGGGCAGAGAGAGAGAGAGAGAGCGAAAGCACGAGAGAGAGGAAGAGGUGUCGGGUUCGGGUAUACCUAAUAAAGACGGUGAAUCGUUCACCGUCUUCAUAAAUCGUUGAAUCGUUCCCCGUCUUAGUGAAGACGGUGAACGAUUCACCGUCUUCUCUAGGGCACAGCAAUCAUACUUCGAAAGGCGGGUUUGCACUAAAGUACUAAAGGCAGUGAAUAGUUCACCUUCUUAGUGAAGGCGGUGAACCAUUCACUGCUUUCACUUGGUAUAUUACAAAGAUGGUGAAUGGUUCACCGUUUUAUCCAUGUUCCAACACCAACCUCCAGGACUUGAAAAAAUUUCAGGAAAAGAAUGGGGAUUUGCACUAAAGGCGGUGAACUAUUCACCGCCUUCACUUAGUAUAUUAUAAAGGCGGUGAAUCGUUCACCGUCUUACUCUUACUGAAGACGAUGAACGAUUUACCAUUUUCAAAAAAAAUUUCUGACCUAGCUCCCACGUGGCCAAAAAAAGGUUGCUUUUUCAAAUAUAAAUUUUAUAGGGUCAUUUCGCAAAUUAUAAAUUUUUCGAGGAUUAUUUUAUAAGAAAGUUCCAAUAUAAUACGCGCAACAUCAGUGUCUCGAAGUGAUUACUGCUCGAAUCUGGAAGUCCCGUCCUCGGCUAUUUCCAUUGCUCCUUAUUUUAUUUUAGGGGCAAUUGUCUAUAUGCCUCUGAAAAGUUUCCGGUUUUCUUAUUUACCCCUCUUGGAAGGCUAAUAUUGAAAAUACCCUUCUUAUGUUCCAAGUCUUUCUAAUAUACCCCUGGAGUUAAGUUCCGUUAGUGAGCUACCGUUAUCUCUGAAAAAUUACCAUUUUGCCCAUUCCAAUAUACCCUUGUACCGUAACUAACUUUUCUUAUAUACCCUUUAUAUAGUAAAUAUUUUUCUUAUUUGCCCUUCAAAUAUCAAUUAAUUAAUUAAGCACGUCGGGAGCGAGCAGAUGAACGGAUGAGAUCGAUUGCAGCUAAACCAACCUUAGUGCUGGAGGCAUAGUUAGUUAAUUUGGAUUCAGCAAAAAUUCGGUACGGAUAUAAUUCGGAUAAAAUUCGUCUUUUAAGUUUUAAAUUCGUUGAAAAAUACGACUAAAAAACGGAUUCGGCAGUUAUUCGGAUACGUGAUUUAUACAGGUAUUAUACGUUCCCCAAUUAAAAAUUCGGGAUCAAAUAUAAUUUUUAUAUAUAAUUUUUAAAAAUUCGGUAUUAUACUAUAUAUAUUAUUAUUAUAAUAUUUAUAUAUAGAUUAAAUAUAUUUAAAAUUAUAAUAAACAUGUACUAAUAAUAUAUAAGAGUUAUAUAUUUAAAAAUAUUAAUAAAUAAUUAUAAAUUUAUAAAUAAAAUAUUAUAUAAUUAAUUUUCUUAUAAAAAAAAAUACUAUAUGCAAUAAAUAUUUAUAAAAAUAAUUAUUUCCUAUAGUAUAUAUAUAUAUAAUGAGAGGGAGGUCCACCGUGGACCUCCCUCUCAUCCGGUCCACAAGGCCAAACUGGCCUCGUGGACCGCACAGGGACGCGUCGAGCUCCAGCAACCGUGCGACCGAGCGAGCCCGGUCGUCGGUGAGCCCGUCCGGGAUGGCCCGAAAGUGGACUUUCGGGCUCGGCCUCGGCCCCGGAAGUGAGUUCCCGCUGGAGCUGCAGAGGAGGCGGCGGACCAGCGGUCCUCUUGCUCCCUCGGGCGAGACGGGAUCGUCGCUGCGGCCCUCUUGCUCCCGGCGCCGGCCAAGGCGGCGGUGGAGGAGGAAGACGACGAGAGCGGCGGAUUAGGAGGACGACAAGAGCGACGGGAGGGGUGGUGUUGGAGGUGGAGGUGUGGGAGGUGGUGGUGGUCUGGGAGGAGAUGAGGCGAGGUGGAGGCGGAGGAGCCAGCGAGGUGGAGGCGAAGAAUUCGGCGAUCAAGUUGGGAGAGAAAGAGAUAACUUAAGGGAUUAGCAUAAUAAGGUAGGAGUAAAAUAGGUAUUUUAUAUAGAUUUUAACUCUAGUAUAUAUUUAACCCAUGUUUAACUCGAGUUAAGCUAACAGGGGAUAACUGCGUGGUAUUUUAAAAUAAUGGUGGAACAUAUGAGGGGCAUUUUAGAAAGAAAAAAAAAUAGGGAUAGAUCGAAUAUUUCCAGACGCAUGAGGAAUAUAUAGGCAAUUAUCCCUUUAUUUUAUUUUAUUUUUUUAAUACGUAUAUCGCCUGAAAAGAAGGAUUUUCAAAUCAUGUCAAAUAUGUUAUAGCAAUGACAACAUUUUCAUGAUAAUUAUAUGAUAAAAUACUAUAGCAAGAGAAGCGCAAUUUACCGUACAAUUUUCUCCAUGUAGAAAUUACAGACAAAGUACCUGACUAGCAGAGAUCAACAACAAGAAAUUUGCAGAUACGGCUGAUGCUUUAGUAGGUAUUUACAAGUUCACAGUCCAAUUUACUUGCACAAAUUUCAUAAUUAUACAAAGCAAGUUGUCACAGAGUUUUCUUUAGGCUGGUUAUACAUGUACGAACCGUAUACAACAACUCAAAUCAAAGUACUGCCAAUGAAGCAACACUAUUUUCAUCUUGCCGUCCUCUAUAUGAAAAUAUUAUAGCAUUCUUUAUGAGACACCUGCUAUGAUAUCAGAUUAUUGGUUCCUAGCCGAUGUGGAAUUACUAACAGAGCGGAUUUUCUCAUUAUGAUGAGCUCACGUUUUUUAGCGUGUUUGACGGUUUCAUGCUAGAAGAACCAUGCUUGAAUCAUCGAACUUGGUAUCGCUUCAUGUUUUUUAGCAUGUUUGACGGUUUCAUGCUAGAAGAACCAUGCUUGAAUCAUCGAACUCGGUCUCGUUUCAGCAAGAAUGGUUGUUCACAGUUGUCAAAGCUGAGCUCUUUGAUAAUUGUUGAUAGCCUUGAGCAAAUCCGGCCUGACACAUUUGACCAGCCCAAACUCGCACGGCUGGCCCAGGUCUGAUAUUUAGAGGAUUGAUAAAAUCCAGCGGAGCACACAUUGUUUCUUUCCUCAGUUGUUACCCCCUCGCCCAAGAUUCUCUUCUAUUUUAUCCGACCCGACCUAGUCUCGUCUAGGCCUGAAACCAGGCUUGGCCGGAACGCAUCCCUUCAAGCCAUUUGCGCAGGUCUAGCUAUUUAUCUGCAACUGAGCCAUCCUCAACACUGUUAGAAGAGCUCUGCUGCACACCACCACUGGAAGAAGAAGACCGGCUUGAACUGCUGCCCUCUGCAGCAAAACCGCUCUCUUUCUUCUCCGGCUGCCUCUGUUUCCCUUUCCUCAUUUCAGAAGACAAAUCCUACAAAAAAUAGCAGUCACUACGUUAGGAACUUUUACUCUAGUGUGCUGUUUGUUCUGCAAUGAAGCAAACUGCGCAGUAAAAUCCAAACUACUACAUCACAUUCAUGGCCGGACUACUGCAUCACAUUCAGGGCCCAUUUGUCCUGCCUGGAUCUUCCACAAAAAUGUUAUUUAAGUAAAGAUCCAUGAAAAUGCAGUAAUAGCUUUUUCCUUUUCAUUAAGAAUCUGUUUAAUAGCUUCUCCUGCAAUGAACUAAAGCUUUAGAUUGGAGCUCCUGCUUUUGCAAACCAGAAGUUACUUACCAGCUUCCCACUUGGACUAUUUGUUUGCUUUAUACCACACUGCUGCUUUUCGGAGUAGGAAGCUUGUCCAAGAAACCAGGCAAGAUAGGCACUUGCUAUGUAGGCACAUUUGCUCAAAUAUAAUGGCAUGAAUUCAUUACAAGUUAUGUUCUAAUCAGAUAAUCUUUUACCUUAUCGUUUGCCAUUUUUGAAUGAGAAGGGCCCACAGAUCCAGGAGUCUUUAGUUCCAACUCCGUUGCCACAUCACUAUGAUUAUCACUUCUCUCUCCACCGCAACUUGGUUGUUGGUGAGUAGAAGACUUGUUUCUUGAAUCUUGUUGGCCAGCGGGACGAGAUCUACUGCUACUUGGGUGUGGAAAUUGAGACUGUUGACUUGAUAGCUGAUCAACUUGAGCAUGGCAAAGCUGAGAAUAUGGCAUAAAAGUAGAACAGGGAUUGGGAAUGGGUCCCGAACUAGGAUUUCGGAAAAAGGGAAAUGGUGGAAGUGAUGAGUGUAUAGCAAGUGGAGCUGAGGGAAUUGGAACUGAGAUUGGAAAUGGAUAAGCAGGAGAUAAACUCAUAAUUGAAGGGUCCAUUGCAGCCCAGGGAUAUAAAACCCUAAUCCUUUGCUGAUAUUGAGUGUUUAAAUUGUCGACCUCACUUUUUAGAGUGGCUUUCUCGUCUCUAAGCUCAUUCUUCUCUUGUGUCAACUAUACAAAGGAAAAGAUAAAGUUUAGGUAAAAACUAACAGACCUUACCUAUACUAUAGUACAUUUUGAAUGGAUUUCUUAACUUUCUCCGAUUUUGAUUUUAUUACCUGACCUUUCAUUCCUAUUUUAUUCCAAAAAAACAGUUACAGACAAUUCCGUCAAGUACCAAAAUAUCGUAUGACAUUACAGAAAAUCCAUCAAAAGGUUACAAAUACAAUUAGGUUCUAACUUAAGAGAUACUAUUGUAAGGUUAAGUAAUGAAUCACAAUUUUAAAGUUCAAGUACACAUCUUCAAAACGUGCUGCAGAUCAGUGAAGGACCAUAAUCUUCUCACCAAAAGUUCUAACUUUUCAAAAUUGAGAUGAUGUUACCUCGCGUGAUUCUUCGGUGAGAGAAGCACAUUCUGCUUUUAAUCUGUUCACUCGAGCAGUCAAGUCUUUAAGCAUCUGGAUGGUAUCAGUGAGAAUGGUAGCCUUAUCAUUCUUGGGUCGAUCUGGAUCUGUAUUUCAUUUCAACCACAUAGGCUAACUAUAAGUAGCUUGUAAUACAAAAUUAUUUUUGUACUACAAUAGAAUCUAAUAUGGGAAAUACAUAUUUCAAAGAGGGACCAAAUGACACAGAACUACUUACAGGCUGGUAAGGAACCCAACCUUAGAGGUUCAAAAAUUGCAAUUCAUACUAAUAGAAGUUAUAUAUAAUAUAUAAAACGCUAAUGCAGAAAGCCGCAAAUUUUGGACCAUAUUUCAAAUGACCAUCAAACAAGAACUAUCAAAAUCAAAGGUCUAAAAUUUUGGACCAGAUCAGUAAAGGACCAUCAUUCAAUGCAGGGGAUACAUGUUUUGAAAACCUAGUGAUUUUUUUGUAUACAAGUCUAUAGAUAUUUUAGAUCACGCAGAAUGUCCAACAGUCUUGAUUUUGAUUUUCAGGCCUCUACAGUUUAUGUUUAUUUUCGUGUAAAAAGUGUGUAGCUUAAAGGUUUCUGAGCUCACACCAAUCCAAUUCCAAAAACAUUACUGUUGCUUCUCCACUUUAAUAAAGAAAAAAAUCAACAUUACUCAGAAUUAUCUGAAAGAAGAAACUCUGGGAUGCCACUAAUAUUUGAAUUCCUAACUUAAUGACCUUUGAUAAAUCUCUUAUUAGUUGUUAUAUUUUACUAUCUAGAUAAAUCUAGAUCCAUCUAAUUUCAUGGUUGUUGUUGGCCACAUGGUAAAAACAAAGUUUAAAAACGACGGUUAACUAAUAAACAAGGUGGUUCAAAGCUUCAACUACUUAGUGUGAAAGUUUUGUUUGUCUCUAAAAGCUUGAGCUGCUAGAGAGCAGUGUUUUAAUAUUUUAUACUCAAUGCCCUACCUUAUUUUCGCGCUCAAGAUGAUUUGAUAGGUCCAGGAAGUAGACUAGAUAUGUAAUGGAAGGAAAUCAAAUAAGAAUAGACGAUUGGACAGACUUGAACUCAAAACCUCCUGCUAUAAUAUCUUGUGAAAUAACCACUUGUCUCUGAAAUCUUAAGUUGUCAGUAUAUGGUAUUUUACUACUUUUAUCUUCGGUGUUAGAGACCAACAUGAUUGAAAAACAGCCUAGUAACAUAAAAAAAGAUGAUUGUGUCACAAUAAAAUAUAUUAUGCCAAUCACAGGGAAGGCACUAAUUGACAAUAAGCUACAAGAUAUCAUUUAAAAUGGUUCAACCGCGUCUAUUAACAAGACAAGUGAAUGAAAUCAAAGGUUUUGGUGAGAGUUCAAAUACAAUUCAAAUAUACAAUCUCUAUCCAAAUGUUUGACAGUAUAAAAAUAGGUACGUGACAAAAUGGCUAAGAUAUGUGAUUAGCUAGUUAAAAUGGGGCAGUCGAGUUGAUUAAUGAUGCAGUUCAAGGAUGAGCCUUGUCCUAUUUAUUUGUUUCUUUUAGUUUAAAUUUUUGCUUAAUAAUUUUUAUUUUAAUUUUGAUUGUUUAGUUGUUUUUAGAUGAUUUUUGGUUUGCAUUCCGAUGAUACAUGAUGUUUUGAAAAGAUUUCUAUCUUAGAAAAAAUUACUUUGACGUAUUCGCUAGUUUUUAGUGCGUUGUAGGAUCAGUUCAAGUUCGGUGUAACCUUAAUUAAUUGCCCACUCAGUUUUUUCCUACAUGGGAUUAAUUCUUACCCAUUUAGGGCCUGUUUGGAUGCACAGUAAAAAAUCUUCACGGAAUUUAUAAACUAUAGUUUUGGUCCAAAUGAAACAGAGAAUCCUGUAACUCUAAAAAAAUUCCACGGAUUAAAUUUUUAAAUUGUUUGGACGCGCAUUGUGCAAUUUCACGGGAUUUCUCUAAAUUUUAAAAUUAAAAGUUAAAAUUUCAAAUUUCAACUUUCAAUGAAAUUUAAAAUUUCAAAUUUGAUAUGUGAAAUGUGAAAUUUUAAAUUCUAAAUUUUAAAAUUUGAAAAUUAAAAAUUAAAAAUAUAAAAAUCUAAAUUUAAUUUUAAAAUUUUGAAAUUUAAAAUUUUGAAAUAAAAAUUUUAAAUUUUAAAUUUAGAAUUUUAAAUUUAAAAUUAAAAAAUAAAUUUAAAAUUUGAAGUUUAAAAUUUGAUAUUUGAAAUUUAAAAUUUAAAAUUUGAAUUUUGAAAACUAAAAUUUAAAAUGAAAUUUGAAAUUCUAAAUUUGAAAUUUGAAAUUUGAAAUUUGAAAUUUAAAAAUUAAAUUUGAAAGUAAAAAAUUUAGAAUUAAAAAUUGAAAUUAUUAAUUAAAAAAUUUAAAAUUUGAAAUUUAUUAUUUGUAAACUAAAAUUUAAAAUUUGAUAUUCGAAAAUUAAAAUUUGAAUUUAUAAAAUUAAAAAAUUUAAAAUUUAAAAUUUGACAUUUAAAUUAUGAAAUUAUAAAAUUUAAUUUUUGAUAUUUCAAAUUUAAAAUUCAAAUUUUAAUUUGAAAUUAAAAAUUUGAAUAUAAAUUAAAUUGUAAAGUUUAAAAUUUAAAAUUUGAAAUCUAUGUUGAAAUUUAAAAGUUAGAACUUGAUGCAUCUUUGCCCAAGAAUGGUGGAAUUCUUUUCCUUUGGUUAGAGUGGAUUAUAAUUUUACUCCCUUUUUUGGAGUAUAGUUAAUUACGAUAUUUUUUUUUUCUCCCAAACGCUUCAUAGGAUAAAUUUCCUACCGGUGUAGCAUAGUUUAACUAUGCUACGUUUCUAAGGGUAUCCAAACGGGGCCUUAGACUUUUCGUUCAGAUUUCAUCAAUGGAGCUUUAUGUUUGCGUUUUGGGUUCGAUUUAAACUUUAAAAUCUAUUAAACCCCAGCUGGUCUAACUUAUAGCCAGACUGCUGAGCCACUUUACCCAUGUUAUUCCUGGUCGGAUCUAAGUCGAUCUAUCAUAUAAAUUGAGAACUUCUGCUGACUUUUUGGGAUUGACAAUUGAUAUUGUCUUCCUAUUGCUGGUUAUUCUGCUCCUCCUCUUGUGUUGUCCGUGCCAUGGACGAACUGUUACUCUCCCAUUGCCUUCUUGCUGUUUCUGCAUUGGGCACUUUCCCUUCUCUUUUCCUGUUGCCCUAUAUUGGGUUUUCUCCUCCUCUACACCUUCCUCUCGCUGCCGUUUAUCGCUAGCGUCUUGUGCUGUUGUCCUUUCAAAUUAUAGGCUCAUUGAUGGUGGUUUUGGGUCAGAAUUGAGACGGGCUGAACCAUAAUUUGUUGUGAAUUAAAAAUAUUAUUUCGAGAUGACUUUCUGAAGAUAAAAAAAGUCCUACGGGCUCUGAGCACCCCGAUAUGUUCUUUCAUUCGUCGAUUUAUUUAUUUUCAUCUUGGCACUUAUUAGUAUUGCAUCAGAACAUUUACUUUCAGAAUGAUAUAGCUUUUAUUCGAGUUAUUAUAUUUCUGGCUGCAUUAAUUACUAUUUGUGUGUGCAGGUCAAUUUUCCCACAGCAUAUGUAAAUGUAAAAGUGUACUCGCAUUGUACCUAGAGCUUUUCCCAAUUCCUGGAAUUGUUCAUUUAGUCUGUCCCUCCUCAAUUUUUCACGGUCAGCUUUCUGAACUUUGCGUGCAGAAAUAGAACUUCUGGCUUCAUAUUCUACCCUUUGGCUGAAAAAUGUUAAAGCAGCUAAUUAGUACAUCAAUGUUCAGAAAGUGAAUAGCAAUAGAGAAUAAGUCUUGUUGACAUAAAAUCAUAUGCAUUCAUAACAGAUAACUCUUAAGAAAUCCUUUAAUUUUCAUUAUUUAGGAGUUGUCAAAAAAGAAAAAACAGCUGCAUUAGCAAUCCAGCCACUUUACUUUGGCAGCGCAGAAGAUAAUAUUGAAUUAAACCCAGAAUUAAAUGUUGCUAACUCGACAAUCCAAUUCUCAAAGUUCUAAACUGAAAAGCUAUUUCAUCAUAAUAAGUAAGAUUAUUUUCUAAUAUUUCUCAAUUUUGAGAUGCCUUGAUUGCUAAAUCUGCCUAGCCACCUCUAGCAUCUAGGAACUUUGUCCUCCUCCGAGCGUUUGCAUCCUAUAGUCUAAGUUGCUCUUAGCUAAAGACAACCCUUCUUAAGCUUCCCUUGCAUAUAAAAACGUUUAAAGAUGGCUACAGCAGGUUAUCAAGAAACUACUGAACAAUUGUAUAGUAAGCAGGUAUACAUGCAGGUGCUUAUGCAUCUCAAUUGAAAACUACUUAUGUUAAUAGCCAUACACAAGGAGCAGGUAGGAACUUAAGUUAUCAAUAAACUUCAAUAGAAUUACAAAAUAUGAAUACAUAUGUGUAAGCAUUUUUUUUUUUCGGUUCAUGCGUGCAAGUACAUGUAGUAAAAGUACCUACAAAUAUUGACGUAAGCGCAAGUAUCUAUGGUAUAAACAUGUAAGAAGAUUUUCAAGGAGAUAAUAAUGCUGAGCGUCAAAUAACUCUAAUGUAGUCUAUAUGCCAUUCUUGCAUAGUUUGUUGGUUUGAAAAUAUAACAGGUAACAACUCAAAUAAAUUUUGCUCAAAAGUUAUAUCACCAACUUAAUGAGCAAGCAAAGAAAGGAAAAAAUGGUUGACGAGAUUAUCAAUUACCAUUUCCUCGUUAAUGUUACCAACUACCAACCAUGUUCAGGACUUUACCAGGAUUAGGUGACUCGAAUGCUAUUCAAACUACAAGUAAAAAAAAAAAAAAAAAUUAGACCAAGGGUUCAUUUGGCCAUGUUGCAGCUCCUGCAAAAGUGAGGACACUUUUCUAACAUUUUACAUAGUAGUAAUAGCUACUCCAGGUGAGAUAAGUAAGGCAGAGACCAUGUGAGAAGAACAUUUGCUUCUCUCACAGCAUCUAAAGCUUUAAGUAGAAGCAAUCCAAUCUAAGUUCGAAUCAAUCCAGAUGCCAAAAUUACACCUUCCAAUGACAAAAAACACAUGAUUUGUCCUCCAAAUUAAUAAUUUUAUCCAAUUCAGCACAACUUUAACCAAAUUUGUUCCUAAAGAUUCAACAAGAAAUAAAGAUCGAGCGAAUUGAACCAAACCUGGGAUUCGGGCACGGGCUCUGCGACCGAUCGGGGCCUGCGUCGCCGGAGCGGCGACGGGAGACCUCGCCGGCGAUCUCCGCCGCCGACGAAUGGUCGGCGGGGAAGAGGCUCUCCGUCGACUUCCACUGAUCCAUCCACGCCCACUCCUCUCCUCUCGCCGGGAAUCUAGGGUUUUGUAUCCCGGAGAGGAGUUGGAGAGAGAGAAAGGGAGGAACUCGUGCUCCACACGAGACAUCCGUAGAAUUAUACGGAUUGCGCCUAUGAGGCAAAAAAAAAAAGGGCUUUUUUAUAAAAUGACCCUAUAGAAUUUUAAUAUUGGCAAAAUGAUCCUGUAAAAAUUUUAUUUGUAAAACUAACACUCCUUUCGCCACGUGGGCGCCACAUCAGCAUUUCUCGCAAAGACGGUGAACGAUUCACCGUCUUUGCAAAUUGCUCGUCAAGCCGGUGAAUGGUUCACCGUCUUCUAAAGGCGGUGAACCAUUCACCGCCUUUAGUGUAUAACCCCUCCCUCCGCUCCCCCUUAGUGCCCUUGAGAAGGCGGUGAAUGGUUUACCGCCUUCUCAAGGCGUGAACCAUUCACCGCCUUCUCAGUGCCCUUGCCCGCGCUUGCUACCAAGCUUAAUUUAGCGAAGUCCCAGAGUGCGGGCUAAAGCACAGAUAAGACGGUGAAUGGUUCACCGUCUUAUCUAGGCUGCACUCGGUGAAUACGGCCAUGUCAUAGAGAAGGCGGUGAAUGGUUCACCGUCUUCAUAAAGCGGUGAACGAUUCACCUCCUUAUGAAGACGGUGAACCAUUCACCGUUUUCAUUAGGUAUACCUAGGAGGCCCAGACCGAGCCCGGCACCUCUCCCUCCCUCUUCGCUCUCUCUUUCUCUCUCUAUCUCUCUGUCUCUCUCUCCCUCUCUGCCCAUCCCUCUCUAGGAGCCACCCCCGGUCGCCGCCGCCCCUGCCGUCAUCGUCGCCGCCGGUCGCCGUCGACCCACGCAUCCGGCGGCCGUGCUGACCUCCCUCAGCAACCCACAUAGGUCUUCAUCUCUGCCUCCCUCUCUCUCUCUCUCUCUCUCUCUCUCUUGCAUAUCAUGUGGAGUAUAAUAAAAUGGGGUUUACUUUAUUUUUCUAUUUGUCUUUUAAUGCUGGUUGUAAAUGUAUAUGUAUAUGUAUAUAAAUGUAUAUGUAGAUAUACUGGUUGUAAAUGUAUAUAAUGAUGGUAAAUGUAUAUGUAUAUGUAUGUUGAUAUGGCAUUUUGAACCUCCCUUAGCAAGGUUUAAACCCAGUAUAAAAUAUGUUUAAACCUAGUUUAAACAUUCAUAAGAAAAAAAAAAAAAAAUCAAACAAGUAUCUAUUGUUUCGUCGCGGUUUUGGCAUGUAGUUGAAUGGUUUUGGCAUGUUGAUAUGGCAAGUGUCUAUUGAUUCACCGUCUUUGUUUCUUAUUUGGCAUCUAAUCCAACACACAUGGCCUUGCGAAUGCCAUUUAUUGCUUCUUUUUUCUGUGUAGUUAAAAUGGCUAGUCGUCGGAUGUCUCUUAGUGUUCAUUGGGAUGGACAAUUAGUUAUGGAUGGAAAUGGUCUCCGAUAUUUCGGUGGUCGAAAGAAAUUGAUUGCGAUUCGUUCAGAUACGACCUAUGCGAAUUUUGAGAGGAGAAUGUAUUGUUUAGUAAAUUGUAAUAGAGAAGAAUGUUGUCUUAAAUACAUAAUUCGAUGCCGUACGGGAGCGAAUGAAUAUAUUGCUCAUGAUAUAGCAGAUGAUGAAUCAUUGGAGGGAUUAAUUGGAUUGUUUGAACAUUAUGGAUGUGUGUCGCUAUACAUCGAGAAAGAUUUAUAUCCGCCGGAGACACAAUAUCAGUCGCAAGGCUAUUACACAAGCCUGCUACAUAAUGAUAUCGAUGUGGGUUUUUCGGAAUAUCCAAUUGGUGACAGUGAAGUUGGUGAUGAACCAGGCGUAAGAAUGACAAUAUCAGUAAUAUCUCAAGAUUGCGGUGAAUAUUUCCUUUAAUUAUGAAAUAUUUUGAUAAAUGCCAAUUAUAAAUACUGCAGACAGAGUCAGUCUCCACGUGCGCAACCCUUGACCUCACGUGCUCAACCCUCGACUUCACGUGCUCAACCCUCGACGUCACGUGCUCAACACUUGACGUCACGUGCGCAACCCUCGACUUCACGUGCGCAACCCUUGACGUCACAUGAGCAACCCUCCACGUCACGUACGCAACCCGAGACUUUACGUGACGAACCCAUGAUAUUUCAUAUACCUAAUGAAAAUUACGAUUGGGGGUUAAGAAAAUUAAGAUUCUUUUUUAAUUAAUAGUAAGUGAAAUUUUACCGUCUUAUAGUAAACAUUCGGGACCUAUUGCAGGCUAUAUACGUCCUAUACAAAUUGGAAUGAAGUUCUUGAUAAUAUUGUCGAUGAAGGAGAUGAUAAUGAUGGUAAUCAGUUGGAUGCACCCAUUGAUGAUGACGGUAAUCAGGAGGAUGCACCCAUUCAUAAGGACGACGAUUGGAAUGAUCUAGCUGCUGACAUUGAAGAUGAUCACGAUAGUGGAUUAAAUUGCGUUGCGAAUGCCAUUUAUAGUUUGAAUGACGACCCACAUGUAAACAACGAAUAUAUAGAGAAUCCUGACGAGGAACUUGAUUUUAUUGACCAUCCGGAGCAAUUUCCUAUAGAUAACAAUUGGAUACAACAGUAUUUUGUGAAUUCGAGUGAGUUCGAUGUUAGACGUACACCAAUACCGAUCUACCUAGCAUUAACGGGACUUGGCUUCGUCAAAUCUUUUAUGAGAAGUCAUCUUUAGUGGACGCUCUAGAUCAAUGGCACAUUACUCGGGCUAGAUCAGGAUGCUUGGAAGUGGGUCGAUGAGCUCGAAGUAUACAAAGAAUAUUGGGCAUGGGCAUUUGAUGGAGGGCGACGCUUCGGGUUGAUGACCACCAAUAUGUCCGAGAGUUUAAAUGGGGUACUUAAGGGAAUUCGUGCUCUGCCUAUAACGGCAUUUGUCGCGGGAACAUUUUACAAACUUAAUAGUUAUUUCCUAAAGCGUCGUGAAAAUGGUGACACUGUGACGUCCACGUUAGCACCUAAAAUACAAAGUCAGAUUUUGAUGAAUAUGGUGACGGCGCGGGGACACAUUGUAUAUCAAUUUGGGCCUGUUGAGUUUGAAGUCCAAAUGGGACAUUCCAAUUACAAUGUUAUCUUGAAUGGACCAGAUGCGGACUGUGAUUGCGGCGAAUUUAAGCUAACGGGCAUACCUUUCUCGCAUCUUUUAGCAGUUUGCAGUAAUUCGGAAAGAAGAAUAGAUUAUCAUAAUCUAUGUUCCCAUUGGUAUACUAUAGAAUGUUAUCGCCAGACAUACACACCGUAUUUCCAUCCAGUUUCAGACAGGCGACAGUGGCCACGACCACAGGGCCCACCAAUUGUACCGCCUCCCGUGAGAAGGAAGAAAGGUCGACCACGAUCAACACGUAUUCGUAAUAUACUGGACGAAACCAGUGGGCGACAAACAAAAUGUAGCAUUUGUAAGCAGGGAGGUCAUUAUCGAAACACUUGUCCACAGAAUACAGAGAGAGCACAACAAGGACGUCGACGUAGGACUUGUUACCUAACUUACUAGUAUUUAUAAUAUUUUCAAUAUUCAAUGCGCUCUUUGCUAAUAUAUUACUAAUUACUGAAUCUUUAAAAGUGCAGAUGGCAGAUCUAGAGGAGGCGGGACCGGUUGAUGAGUCUAACCUGACAGAGCAACAUCUCCAAAGGUGUCACGCCCCGCUCCCCACCAAUUAGGUCGGGUUUAGGCCACGUCAACAGACGCCGAACGGACAGCACCUCCCCUGUCCGCCCAAAGCUCCAACAACAAGUAUAAUUAAACAAUUCAAACAACGAGAUUGCAAUUAUAUAAAGCUUGCACGAGGGCAAGCAACAACUACAUAAGUGAAAGUAAACUAUCUAUUACAUUCAUUCAUUGUAAUUUGAUCACUUUUAAUCAAAUACAAAGCUUGUACCUUUACUUUACAUUCAUUCAUCCAAUUUACAUAACCAUCUCUCAAAUGGAUUAAUUACAUUUCAUAUACACUUUACAUUCAUCGACAUAAUAGAUGAAAUAUACAAAGGGUGGCUCUAUACACAUCGGUAGUCCGCUACCUAGAGCACGAUAACCAUGCCACGAACCAUAAUCGCCCCGUUCGCGCUAGAACCUGUAUGGUUAGUGGGAUGAGAACUACAACAAAGUUCCCAGUGGGUUCAGCAACCGACCUUGCCGACUUACCCACUAGGUCUAUUUAGGCAUAUAUAUUUCAAGAAAGAAAGAUAGCAAACCAACUAAUGCUACUACUAAUACAAUGCCUGCAAGAAAACUGGUCAAUAAAUAGAUAAUCAUAUGUAUGAUAAAUGCAUGCAUGCUCUUUUAAUAAAUAUACUUUGGCUUUUACCCAAUCUUACCGGUUAACCUUGUUAACCCCAAUAACUCACAACCCAAAAUUCCUUAAUAGUGCGGGACUCGAACCACCCUAGGGAUCGUCCUCUGGGGGGGACUUUACCAUGCCCAGUGGUGACCAACUCCGGAGCGCACCGCCCGAGGGGGAGCUACCUCCCUCAAGCCAAGACUUAUCGUGAGUAUCGAUUAAAUCCUCAACUUGAGGAUACAUAGCCACUAGUCACAAUGCCAUUGUCAUAAUAGGUUUCUACCUAUUUAAUUGUUCAUGCCACUUUCUAAAUCAUACUUGUCACCAUGCCGUUAUGCCACUAUAUCAAUGAUAGGUCUCUACCUUAUCAUUUAUGCCACUGUCUAGGCUACACUUGCCAUAAUGCCAUAAUUGGUUAAACUAUGUUUAACAAUUCAUCUCUCAAUGCCAAUCUUGUCUCUAUUGUCAAUGUCACCUUUGUUUACUAUUGUCAAGUCCAAUUCUCGCAUUCAUACAAUCUUUAGGGUUCUACCAUACAUAUCCAUUAUGGUUCUAUCAUUCUCUAUGUUCAACUACGUUAGAAGCAUAUAAAUGAAGUCAAACCAAGGUUCACUUGUAAACUACCCUAUUAUGCAUGAAUGGUUCUAUACUUGUAUAUGCUCAACAAAAGUGAAAUAGACAUAAAGGGAAAUCCGAUGAUUCCGGUGUGCACUCCCCACCUUGUAGGAAUGCCAAGAAGUUACGGUUCAAUUUUCGUAAUUUUUGGGCGUCUAUUCCGCGUGCUGCGGCUAUCUGUAUGAAAAACGACAUUUUGUCAAUAACUUUGCGUACAUUCGUCGGAUUGUCGAACCGAGCACACCAACGCGUUUGUUAUACCCCUAAUUAGGUUUGUAUAGGCUCAUAUUAGAUUAAAACCCUACUUGAGCAAAACCCCUCUUUGAAUUGCCCAAAUAUGACAUAUAGUUCAAAUCCUUAAAUUGAUCUUAGAGCUAAGCAAAAACUAGCUUAGAAUCAUCUAAGAACUCCUCUAAAAUCAUUUCUAGGUUAUUCCAUUCAUUCCCAGGGCAUAAAACAUGAACCCAAGCAAACCACCACGUAAGCACUUGAGCAAAACAUGGAUUUCCACAUGUUCUACAGUCUUUACUAGGUUUCUAACCAUGUGAGAGGAUAAAAUCUCUGAGAUUUAGGGUACAAGAUCAAACCCUAGCAUCAUCUUUUCAUAAGAACUCACCUUAGUCCAUUAACUCUCCAAUAUCCACCUUGUAGGAGAGACCAACACCUUCAAAAGCUCCAAAUCUCCUCCCAAUCCUCCUUUAAUCCACCUUGUAGAGAGCUUUUAGAGAGAGAGGGAGAAAAUGACAGAGGAGUGUAAUCUCAGCUUGCUGUGAAGAGAAGAGAAGGUUUGGAUCUUAUUUGGGCUGCUACAAUUGCAGUUAGGCCCUCCAACUCUCCAAUUCUGUAGCAGGCUGCGCCUGCGGUCCACCGUGCACUGUACCGGUACACGAAAUCCUGUCACCGGUACAACGGCCUUUUUCUGUGGUCCAUGGUGCACUGUACCGGUACACAAAAUCCUGUCACCGGUACAUAGCCUUUUUCUACUCAACCCGAGAGCUACUUCUCUCGGUUUUACACUAUGUACCGGUACACUUUUGAUGUUAAACCGGUAACACAACUCCAGAUUUCAGAUUUUCGCAUCUUUUCGAUUCUAUUUCGCUUCGAUAAAUGCUAAAACAUUUCUAACUCUUUUAAACUCAUUUUAAACUCUUCCAACCUUGUUGGAACGCUAAAUGGAACUUGUCCAACCAGUUCUCUCGGCACUUUAACCCAAUUUGGGUAAAGUCCAAUAUUCUCUACCGAGUUUUGGUAUGUUACAUUCUCCACCCCUUAAAAUUAGUUUCGUCCGCGAAACUAACACAUACCUUAGCUCAUCGACUCAAAUAAGUGAAGAUACAUCUUUCGUAUCGUCUCCUCAAGCUCCCAAGUGGCUUUACCCGCCGCAUGGUUGCCCCACUGGACCUUAACAUAUGGAACUGUUCGAUUCUGCUGUUUUCUUUCCUCCAAAUCGAGAAUGCAAAUCGAAUAUUCCUCAUUAAUCAUAUCCUCGCGCAACUCUUCCGGUUCAUACUCCGAUAUGUGAGUUGAACUACGAAUAUACUUGCUGUUAAGGAUUUUAUAGGUUGGCGGAUUUCGUAAUGUUGAAUGGAGUCUUGAAGAGUUGAUUGCGGAAGAUUGAAGAAAGAUCUAAAUUGAAGAACAAAGACUCGUAAAGUUCGGCACCUAAGGUAUGAAGAAAAGAUCAUUUGUGGUGAAGAUACUUAAUUAGAAUAAGUUCAGAAGGCUUAGAUUGCUUUAAAAAUAUUUUACUGAACUUUCUGUGUUCAGGGACCGGUCCCUGAGAGCAAUCCGGUACGCUGCACCACCGCCAAUACAGACACCUGCAGCAGUAUAAGCAUCUACAAGAGAGCAAGUCGAUAGAGUACCAAGAAGAGUCCUAUCCUUGAUAUCAGACAAAUGCACGAAGUCAGUAUAUUAUCAGUAAGAAGAACAAAGGAAAUACAAUCCAAAUUCGAGAGAGAGAGAACGUAUCACAAAGUGCACGUUCCACGGUCAACGUAAGUACAUAUUAGAUCAGCAGAUAUUGCACAAAAAUGUACGAUAGGAUACGAGAUGGUGGUUUCUCUAUGACCCGAGAAGGACCAGUCACCUCCCGGUCGUGGAGCCCGAGUAGCAAUGUCGUGAUCGACUAGUAUCCUCAUAGCAAAGCGUUCUAGCUAGAGCGACUCCCUUCGCCACGAUCCCUACCGCCUCCCUCUGCCCGCACCCGAUGGCUCUGUAAUAAACAACCACGCAAAAGGCGUGAGAAUAUUAACGAUCAGUUCCCAGUGGGGUAACCCGCCAGCCCUCCGCGACCAUUACCACUAGGCCUCAUCGCUUUACUGGAACGUAAUAAAAGGAAAAAAAACAAAACAAGACAAAAAGAAACAAUCAGUCGCAAUAUAUAAAUAUGCAGUGCUAACCGGCUUAACCCAGGCAUGUAUUUCAACAUUAAACAAUCCAUUUUGCAGUAACUGCAUCAACGUGAAUAGCAUGAGAAAAUUCACAAACCUACUGAUAAACAUGAGAAUAAACAUAAAUCAACGAAGGUAAGGUUACUGUACACUAUAAUGAUGCUCAUGUCAUUACUAUAAUUAUCAUUUUCACUUCAUUUUCAUUCACAUCGGACCUACUCAAGUAGGCCAGUUCGGGCGGCGCCUGAAUGGCCCCCGUUAGAUUAUACUCCACGGCAGAUCCACUUCGGCACGACAGGUAGGCCGCACGGCGAGUGCAGACUGUCGCGGUAGGCCCACUCCAGAGUGGUCAGCUAUGUAAGGGAGCUACCCUCACAACGUAUGCGAAUGAGCGAGAAUGGAAGCAGAGCAAAGUCCAUUGUCCAACAUGUCAAGAUUUUCCUUAUUUUCAUUGUAAGGUUUUACCUCCUCUCCUCUGAUGGUGAUAUUGUUCAAUAACACCCCAAAUAAGUGAAAGAUCUAGUAAUCACUAGAUUGUAAACUAUGUGAAGGGUAAAGAGCUUAAAUCACGAACGUGUCAUAUGAAUUUUCAUAGUAUGGCAGCUAUCGAACGAUAGUCAUUGGUGAGCGAUGGGUCAUAGUGUCGUCUGAACGCUUAGAGGUCAAGAGAAGUCAGGUUGUUCUCGCUACUGUUGAAAGUGCCGCCCACAGCUUGUGAUAAUCAUUCAAUCUGGUAUUGAAUUACGAAUAUAAAUACUUCAUUAUAUAGUCCUACUUUUAUGAGAUUUCAUUCACUUAAGCAUCGGAGAGUCUAGAUAUGCAUUACUCAAUGCACCUAUGACGAUUAUUCUAUCUAAUAGAUAACUAUGAACUAGGGAGGGGGGGGGACCACUUGAUCUGUUAGGUCCGACCCACCGUAAAGUACUAUUAACAAAGUCACAAAGAAGUCCAAGAUACAGCUCACUGGUCGCAAUCCUGCUGCAAACAAACAGAAGCUAACAUAUCGUAUUCAAAAAUUACGAUGCGAAAUGUCAAUUUUCGGCGCAAUUACAACUUAGUACAUUGUAAUAGCUGAAAUCCCUGUUUGGCUCAAUAAAUACCUCAAGUUAAGCUUUGCCAAAAUCCUCACGUAUCAGCGGAGGUAGAUAGCCGAAGGUCCGUUCAAAGCCCGCUGCGAACUAUUUCCAAAAACGCAACAAAGUCGUCAAUGCUACAAUAAUAGUCGGAAUCAUGCGAAUCAGUUUUCUAACUGAAAUUCCAGCUUUAACCCUUAGUUGAGUACCGUUCAAACUAGCCUCCCUGUCCGCAAUUAAACCUCCCCCAAGGAGUUCGAGAAACUGCUGCGAAAGAACAGUCCAAACUAACAUCAAUUCACUUAUUAAUUCGCGUAUAGCUUCGAAGUCAACUAAUUACUACAGCAUGCUUCAAACAAUUUUCUCCUGAGCUAAUAGUAGGAAUUCACAGUCAAAAAUAACAUCCCUUUACUGCAGGUAAAACAACCUCUACUUAUAUGAGGAGAGAGCGAGGCAGCGCGGGGGGAGGAGGCAAGCGUAAAAGGAGCGUCAAAAUACGAACCGAUAAAGCUACGAGAGGAGAGAUCAGAUGUGGAUAUACGAUCAAUACUAAAGGCUGGAAUCAGCUGCCGCCGUAGUAUAAGGGGGCUCACAAGAAACAGCAGAGACGAAAACUCCUUUCCCCCGCACUGCUGGAAGCCUUCCUUCAAGUCGCCAAAUCAAUCGCGUAGAGCGGGCAACGAAAGCGGAGGAGCGGUCAACCGAAAACGGCGCGAAUCGGAGGGAGCGUUUCCUCUUAGAGAGAAAAAAAUCUAGAGAGAGAGAGGAAAAAACAUGAAGAAGAAGGGCUCGCCCUGAGCCUCAAGACCGUCCGAUGAGCUCCAAGAAUCGUCUGGCUUCAUAUGGAUGAGAUAAGAUGAUGAAAAGACUAAACAUAAGCCUUGCUGCCACGAAUCUGCAGCUUGUACCUGGUACAAGGUGAUGUCUGUACCGGACAGCAAGCAGAAAGAGCUGAUUUUCCGAGACUCAAUGCAAUUAUCUCACUCUUAUGCCGUAGUGAGCCAAGAGGCAUCGACGCUAUACUGAUUGUGUCAAAGAGAAACUUUGUCCAGUCAAUUUAGAGACAUGUAGAAAUAGUGUCCCACUUCAAAUCCACACACGCUGGACACUGGCAUUUGCGAAGUCCCAGUGUAUUACAUUCACCCCUUCUAAGAAAGCAGGUUUCGGGCCAGCGAAAUUGUAAGCACUUACCAUCAAAUCUAUCGAGAAAUAAAUAGGAUAAGGCUCUUGCAUGUACCUCCACAGUGUCCCAAGAUGCUUCGCCGUUCAUCAUGAUUGUUCCAUAAGGAUCUUUACGUAGGGGAUUCGGCGGUUUCGAAGAACCGCUUUACCUCGAGCUAGUAUCUCACUGGAUGCUCCUCGAAGCUCAAACUUUCAUGUAAAUCACUGGUAGUACUCAUCCAAUAUAUGAGUUGAUCAAAAAACAUAUUUCCGUAUCGAGUAGAAUACAUGAAAUACAUCGUGGAUCAGAGAGACUCGGCCGGCAAAGCAAGCCGAUCACGCUACGGCCUAUCCGCUCCAGACACCUCGUAGGGUCCAAUGAUCGGGCACUUAACUUCCGUCGAAACACAAAUCUCUAAGCUCCCUUUGUUCGGUGCAUUACUUUUAGAAAUAUCGUGAUGCGCCAACGUAAAUUCAGUUCUCGCCGACAUUUAUCCGCAUAAGCUCUUUUGUUCGAUUUUGGUGCUUCAAUAGACGUGUCUCCGUGGCAAGCGAGACUUUGGCUUCACGCUCCUGUAGUACAUCUGGUAAACUUAAUCUUUCCCCACUUCGCUCCAAUGAAGUGUGAUCUGCACUUUCUACCGAUAAGGGCUUCAAAAGUGCCAUCGGAAAUACUUGCGUGAUAACUGAUUGUUAUAGCAAAUUCCCGCAUGUAGGUACUGAGGCCAAACUGGCCGUUGAUAAUCCCUCACGACACAGGCCCGCAACAUGUCUUCAAGGUCUAGAUGGUACGCGUCGGAAUGCCACAUGGUGCACCUGGGGGUGGAAAAGCCAGUACUAAAAUACCAAUCAGGGUACCCAAAAGCUUCCUGAAACCUCCAGACAUGUGUGAAAACGAAAAUCGGGCUGCUCUCGUCUUGAAAUAAUCACAGAAGCAGGUACUCUCCGUGAACGCACAAUUUAUCCCAAGAUACACUUGUGCGAUGUCUCCCCCCCUACCACGCGUAUGAAUUGGAAUAAAGUGGGCAGAUUUAGUCAAUCGAAUCGCACAAUACCUCAAAUGCAUCGUGACGCCCGCUGUUGAGCGAGGUAAAUCCAACGAUGAAAUCCAUAGUUGAUCCUCAUCCCACUUCCACCUGGUUAAAGGUAAGCCUGAAGUUUCCCAGAAUCGAUGUUCAGCUUUAAACCUGCUGACCAAAUAAGCACUUGCCAACGUAGUCUGCAACUUCCUUUUUCAUGUCCAGGCCACCAGUAGUACCUUCAAUGCCUUAUAUCAUUUUGCGUACUUCGGGUGUACAGUACAACCGGAGCAGCCGAUGUGCUUCUGCUAGAAAUUCUUCUUUAAUACCAGAAUUUGCCGGUACAUUCAGACCUAUCAACCGAAUUCAAAUAAGCCUGAUAUCUACUCGAAAAUCAUAUCAUGACAACAGUGAUCUUUAUCUCGAAUCUUCGCAAGAAUUCAUCUGAGUUUGCUUUUCCUUAAUUCGAUCAAUCAGUGGUAGGUUGGCAAGUAACUAAUGGAUAUAAGUCUGCCAAGGCGUAUCAGGAGCUAACAACUUCCAAAUUCAAUUGCUCAUUUCCUUUACCAAAUGGUUGCAUUGUUAUCGAGAUCGCCAAAGUUUCCGUCGAUUUUCGACUAGAGCAUAACUGCACUAAACAAUUAGCUUUUCCAGGAUGAUAAGAUGGUCAAUCAUAAUCGCUUGAGUAACUCCAACCAUCUACCGUGUCUCAAGUUUUAAUUUCUUUCUGAGUUGAACAGAUACUUAAGCUUUUAUAUGAUGGUCACUUACGCGACCCGCCGUAGAGAUAGUGGCGCCAAAGCUUUAGAGGGGAAUACCAACAGCUGCUAACUCAAAUCAUGUGUAGGUAGUUCUUUUGCAUAAUUCUUUCAUUGGCGAGAAGCAUAAGCAUUACUGCCAUUUUGCAUUUAAUGAACAACCCUAAUCCUUCAGUGAUGCUCUGUUACAUAAUCCACUCCGUAACAGGCAAAACGCCAGAAUCGGCGGUAGUCAAACCGUUCAUCAACGCAUCACACAAUCAACGCCUCUUUCGCAGGCUCAUCAUCAAAUUCUUCUAUCUGUAAGUCGACGUGGGGUAGACAUUUUCGCAACUACCACCGCAACUGCUUCGAUAAUCAUCUGGCCAGAGCAGAAACUUCGAAUUCAGUGACACUGGUCGGUCCUACGGCCAAUCUUAUCGCUUCAACUUCUUGGGACUCCACAGCUAUCCCAGUUUCUGACAUCACAUGGCCAGAAAUGCCACUUCUCGAAGCAUUCUGCAUUUCUUUAGCUUGGGCAAAUAGUUCUUUUUCGAGUAUGUACACCAUCUCCAAAUGGUUUCAUGCUCCUUGUCACUUCGAGAAUAUAAAGAUAUCACAAUCAACAUACCACGAAAUCUGCCAAACUAGGGCUUAAAGACAACGGUUCAAUUAUAACUCCAUAAAGGCUGCUAGGGGCAUUAGUCAAUCCAAAUACGGCUGCGUAAAUCAUAAUGCCAACCGUGUUCUAAAAGCAGUCUUAAAACAUCUUCAGGCUUAAUCCAUUGAGCUGAUGAUAGCCCUGAUUGCAAAUACGACUUUCUGGGAGUAUACUUUCGAUCCUUGCAGCUGAUCGAAUAAGUCAUUUCAAUUUCUAGGCACAUGAUAUUUUAUUCUUGACUUGUGACUUUGUGAUUUCUCGCAUAGUCCACGCACAAUCUGAAGAGAUCUCAUCCUUUUUCUUGAACAUAAUUAACACCGGUGCUCCCAGGGCGAAACACUCGGUCGAACAACAUCCUUUAUCUAACAAUCUUGUAAACUGUGCCUAAUCAGCUACGUUCAAUUGCAGCGGGGUGCAAUCCUAGGGCGGGCUUUAGAACUAUGGGUAGUCCCAGGGACAAGGUCAAUACACAAGACUCAACUUCGCCUAUCCAGGUGGCAUGCCCGGCAAUUCAGCUUGGGCAACACAUCCCAAAUUCCUCGCACAACGGGAUAUUCAUCAAUCUGGGACGCUUUCUUCCGUCACUCACUAGAAAUGCAGCCAAAGAGGCUACGCAUCCUCAUCCGAAUCACUGUCGUGCUCGCGAAGAGCAAUGGUCAUUGCGAACUAAUGAACUCUGAACCUUAUAAACAAACUCCGUUGACCGGUUCCCUAAAAGUCACAACGUUUCCUGUUCGUUGCCAAUCUUGGUGGCAUAAUACUGUGUCACACCAACCAUACCCAAUUACUGACAUUCAAACUCACCCUAGUUGUGUAGUGCCAAUAAUCCACUGGCAGUAAUCCAGUGCGCCUAGACCUAACUGGGCAGCGAGGGCAAAAACUCACGAAUCAUCAAGGUAAUGGUCAGGUACAUCACCGUCCCAGAUGCAAAAGUAGGUGCUAAAGGAAGACUAUUGCAACUCGGCAAACUGGGCCGACAAUAAGAAUGCGAAGCACCCAUUCAAAUAAUGCACAACACAAUUCAUACCAAGCAUAAUAAUACCGUCUUGCUACGACUCUCUGUGCGGGGCGCGGCGCCCUCGUCUGGGCGCAUACUCCGCCACCGUCAGAACCCCUGCUGGCUAAACUCCUCCGACUGCCGCUGUCUCCUGCGGUCCGCCUGAGACGUAUAGCGCGCGGUCUGCGGUCCCCUGACUCGGAGCUGAGACUGGCAGGUGCAACGCUCGCGGACGAGGGUGCAUGGCAAACGACUCACUCGGCACUCUGGAAGCGAAAUGGCCCUCCUGGCCGCAAAGAAAAGGCACCUGCCCAGCUGUGGACAUGUGGCGUACGUGAGGCCACCACAAGAUAACACAAAAGCAUGCGGUCGACGACGCCGGUGCUCCAGGGUACGAAGAACCUCGACCCUCGACUGUCCUGACUGUCCGCCUCGGAUACUUUGGGGGUCUCCUAAAGGACUGCUGCGCACUGCUCUCGACUGCAGUCUCUUCCCUUUGCCUUAAAUGCCACAAACAUCCUCUUUCCUCUUCAUUAAUCUCUGCCCCUUUCUCGACGAUCAAGCCCUGCGUUCACUACAUCCCGUAAGUGGAGAGGUUUGUUGACGCUGGACCACGAUCGAAAAUCGCGCCGCAAACCUACCUCAAGAGACUACGAGCCUUGUCCUCAUCAUCGUCGAACUACACCAAGGAACGCAGUGGCAGUAAUCCGGGAGAACUUUCGCCUCGUGACUCUGCAUGCCCUGUCCCCCCCUGCCAGCAGGUUUUACUCAGAUCCUUUCCAUCUGUCUCUUAACACUCUGAGGAAAGUAUGUUAGUCAAUAACAAUUCCUUGAAUCUGUCGCACGUGAUACAGACAAAUCAGACCACGGGGAUCUCACGAAAUGUCACCAGCACCUGUAAGCCUCAGCCAUCAAGGUGGUGUGUCGCAAACACAAAGCUCGGUAACUGCUCGCUCAACAAAGUAUCAUAAAAUAAUAGCUUUCAAUUGUGCAGGCAGCCAUCUUUCAACUACCCAAUAUCUGUUUUCCUCGCCGUCAGAAGAUACGAGGGUUGCAGCGAUCGGAAUUCAUCUGCAGUCGUCCAUCAUCCGCUUCCUCCUCAACCCCCACCAUCUCAGGUAAGACUGUCCCACGAUGGCUGCUACAGGUACUGGUGGUGUACUCACUGUCUCCUGUCGGGUCUCUACCUCGGAGCUACUGGGGUGUGUUCAAGUAGCAGGUACUGCUGCUCUCACUGUGGUGCCCCUCUCUGGUGCUAUAGGUACAGAAUCAUGGAAGUACAGAAUCUGGAAUCUCUGUCAGUCGUCUGUCGAAGUAAAAGAUCCUCUAACCUCUCGUCAUCCCUAUCGCUCCUGUCGACAACGCCACAGGCAUCAUUGCUGUCUGUGCCCUGCUGGGCAGCUUGCUGAGUAAACCCAAAUCCGUCACAUCGCAACUGACCUGUAAAUGAUCCACUAGAAUCCUAAAGUAAGCAGAUCCGCCACUUCCAUAAUGCAUCCGCCGCAUAGCUGGCCCGGCGGCUUUGCGAACGAAUCAACGGCAUCUUAUGCCGCAAGCACAAAAACAACAUAGGCAAUAAACCCUAUAUACUAAACCCCUCAUUGAGGAAUACAACAGCCACUCACAUUAGCGAAGAAGAGAUGUAACAGCAUCUAAUCGUCCCGAUGUACACGUUGUCCGGGCCAACGACGCUCUGCACAGUUAGUACUGCAGCAUUCCGAUCAAGACCCUACUAUUCGGAGUUUAUAAAAUACCAACUAAAGUUACUUUCGCUAACGAAAACCUCGACUAGGACAUCGUCUCUCACGAGCCUAUCGCUUAUAGUCCAACCAGCCUAAGGUUUGCUAGGUCUACUAAGACUCAACCCUAGGCUCUGAUACCACUAUAACUGUCAACGCGCCGGGUACAGCGAAGCAUAUCCGGACUGCACCAGACCCGGCCAGUACCCCCCCACCUGCAGCAUAUAAGCUCUACAAAGAGAGCAAUGUCGAAUAGAAGUACCAAAAGAGAGUCCUAUCCUGAUAUCACGCAAUGCACAGGAGUCGAUAUUUAUCAGUAAAAGAACAAAGGAAAAUACGAUCCAAAAUCUCGACAGAAGAGAAAGUAUACACAACUGGCAGUAUCACCAGUCCAAGUAAACAUAUACCUCACGAGUAUAUCAAAAAUAAGGAUAGGUACAUGGUAGGUUUCUCUAUAACAAGGGACAUACACCCUCGGUUCGGACCCGAGUAGCAAGGUGAUCGACUAGUAUCUCAUAGCAACAGUCUAGAACUAGACGCGACUCGCUUGCCCACGCAUCCCUAGCCUCUCCUGCAGAUCGGCUUGUAAAACAUACCACCAAAAAGGGCGUGAGAAGUAUUAUACGAUAGUUCCCAGUGGUACAACCGCCAGCCUCGCGAAUUACACACUAGCUUCCUGAUGUAACUGAAGUAAGUAAAAGCAUAAGUGCAUGAUAUAAAAUAUGCAGUGCCUCAACCGUAACAGGCAUGUAUUCAACAUGUAAAGCAUGAUUUCUAGGCAGUAAUGAAUCAACUGAAUAAUAGAAGUUAUCACAACUACUAUAAACAUAAACAUAACCAUAAUCACAGCGAAGUGUAAGAUACUAAACCUGUAGCACUUAUACUGAUGCUGCCAUUCAUUACUAUCAUUAUCGAUUUUCAACAUUUCAUUUUCAUUCACUACGGACGCUCCUCAAGGUAGUCCACUGGCGCCGCGCCUAAUGCCCGUGAUAUACUACUCCCCACGCAAUCACUUCGGCACCGUCCAGUCCGCAACGGGCGAAGCAACCUGUCUGCGUAAGGCCAACUCCGGGUGUCAGCUGUAGGGAGGCUACCCUCUACAAGCGUGUUGCGAAUGAGCACGAAUGGCAAGCAAGCAAAGUCCAUUGUCCACAUGUCUCACAAUUUUCAAUUUCAUUGUAAGGUCUUACCCUCGAUCCUCUCCACUGAUCGGAAUUUCAAUACACAAAUAAGUAACAAAGCUAGUAAUCCACCUAACCGAUUGUAAACAUGUACAAGGGUAAAGCUAAAUCACAUGUAUCGAUAACUUUCACUAUAAUGGCACUAUCAACUAGUCUCAGAGCAUGAUCAUCAGUUCUCGUACGUAGAGCAAGAGAAUAGUCAUUGUUCUCUAACUUAAAGUGCCAUCCACACUUGAUUCAUAAGAUCAUUCACUGUAUGAAUACUAAUAUAAAUAAUUUCAUGUAUGAAGAUGUUUCACAAUUUAUAGAGAUUAUCAUUCAACACUUAAGCCAGCAAUCAAUUCACUCAAUGCACACUAAUGCGAUUUUCUAUUCUAAUAGAUACAUGAUAGAAAAUCAGCCCGGACGCUCCACUUGCUCUGUUAGGUCCGACCACUAGUAUUAACAAUAAGUCACAAGAAGUCCAGAUCAGCUCCAAGCUGUCGCAAUACUCUGCUCAACCACGACAGCAUACAUAUCGUUCAAAUUACGAUCGAAAUGUCCAAUUUCGGACGCAAUUACACUAGUACAUUGUAAUACUGAAAUCCUAGUUUGGCCUUCAAUAAUACCGUCCACAGUAAGCAUUCCAAAAUCCGCUCACUGUAUCAGCCGGAGGUAAUCCGAAGGUCCGUUGGCAAGCCCGCUGGCGAACUUUUCAAAACGGCACAAGUCGUCAUUGCUACAUAUAGUCGGAUCCUUGCGAAUUCAGUUUUCUAACUAAAUUCCAGCUUAGCCCUUAAGUUGAGUACCUCGAACACUAGCCCCCUGGUCCCCAAAUUAACACCAAGGAGUUCGAGAAACUCGCUGCGAAAAGAAAAGUCCAAACCUACAUCAAUUCACUUUAUUAAUCCCGUAUAGCUUCGAAAAGUCACAUAAUUACAUACCGCAGCUUUCAAACCAUUUUUCUCUGAGCUUAAGAAGUAAUGGUAAUCACAUGUCAAAUAAUUACAUCGCCUUAAUGCAGUAUAACGAACACUCUAGCUUAGUUGGAACACGCCGAAACAGAAAUAGUGUCCAAAAAUCAAUAACAACCAUAAACUAGAGAGAGAUCGAGUUUGAUUACGCUCUCUAAGCUGAGAUGCAGCUCCCCUGGUAGUAUACUACAGAAAACACAGCAAAAUCCUCUUUCCACGUGCUGGAAGCCUCCUUCAGUCGCCAAAUCAGCAGAACAACAAGCGCGCGGGCGAAAACGGCGCGAAUCGCGGCUUUUCUCAUAGAGAGGAAAAAACCCUAGAGAGAGAGAGAGAAAAAUGAAGAAGAAGGUGUCUGAGGCCUCAAACAACCCCACCUGAGCUCCAGAGCCGUGCUGGCUUCAUAUGGAUGAGAUCAAAGUGUGAAAAGACUAAAUACCUUCGCUGCCACGAAUCUGCCACGUGUACCGGUACGAGGUGAUGUCUGUACGCCACAGACAGCAAGAGAAGAGCUGAUUUUCGGCAGAUCAACGUGCAAUUUCUCUCCACUUUUAGGGGCAUCAAUCAUCCUCUACACUCUGUUCAAUUAAACUUGUCAAGCAUUUAACAUGUAAAUAGUUCCACACUUCAAUCCACGACACUCGAAUCUGCAAUGUGCGAAAGUCCAGCGACUUAAAAUACCCUGAGUCAACGAAAGUCUCGCGUUUGUUCCAACAAUAGUACGAAUCCUCAUUUUCUUAUCUAAAGAAUAUUUGGUACCUAUGAUGUGUUGUUGCUCAGUGAACACACUGAAUUCCAUACAUCAUUUGUGAACGAAAUUGACCAAGUCUUCUUGCAUUAGUAUUUUAUCCAUAUUCAUACAAAGCGUAAAGGGCUUCGUCAAUAUUCUUUGGCUCAAUCAAGAGAUAUCGAUACAUGCAAAUUCACAUUGUAGUUGACUUACUUGUCGUACUCCAAGCAUUAGGAUCCCCAAUUACAUUCGCAUAAGGAUGAUUCUCGACUUGCUGUAGGGGUGUAGUCUCAGGAGAUAUGCUUGGGAUUUCAGCAUGAGGUGAUCUUUUAGCUCGAUGAAUCAUUUUGAAGCAAUAAUUUUCAGAAAGAUGCAAUGGGAAUUUCAAGUGCAGAAACAUAUAUCAUCAUUCACAGCAAUACAACGGAGAAUCAUUAUAUCAUCAUUCGCAAGGAGAAGUAGAAGAACAUUCACAAACGAAUCUUAACAGAAGAAGCUUCAUCUACAUUUUAUAUUGAUGAUUCUUACGUUAUAGAUCGUAAUAUGUACGCUACCGUAAGCACGACUUGUAGUAGAAUGAACCAAGAAAAUCCCUUCUGUCACUUCGAGAGUCAAAUUUCUCAACGGAUUUUGCCCACGACGAUCCCGAAGUGAUAAAACAUUAACUCCGAAGACGACCAAAGCUAUUUAAUUUUAGGUUCCUAACCAAGCAGAGUUCAUAGGAUAUUUCAAUGUACCCGCGUGCAAUGAAAUCCGAUUGAUAACCAUAGACAGCCGUGUUCACUCGCUUCAGCCCAAAAAGUGUAAAGCCAUUUUCUUACUAUGGAAGCGAAUAACACGAAGCCAUCUCCUGUUACAACCCGUUCUUGCGUUAACCACUCCGUUUUGUUGGGUGAGUUAGGGGUUCGAGAAUUCAUGUUUAUAUACAUUUGAAAUACAGAAAUCAACACAUUUUGAAAUUUCUGCAAUUUCCCCCUUGUAUCACUUCGAAUACGUUACAAUUUUAUAUUUUCAUUUCAAGUCAUAAGACGAGACAGUUGCAGAAAAAAAUCAAAGUAUCAGCUUUUUCCGUAGAAGGCACUCCAAGCAAAACGAUUUAAAUAAUUAUCAAAAUGAGCAAUAUAUAACGUUUCCACCCGAAACUUUGGAAAUCCUAGAUGUCCCAUCAAAUCCAUGCUGAAGUACUCUUAAAGGUUAUGGUCCCCUAAGUGUGGUUCAAAAUUCCUUAUGUGCGACAGCUAGUUUGUUCCCCAUGACAACACCCCACCAGCAAGUGUCUCUUUGAAGUCAAUCUGUAGUAGCACCUCUGACAACCUCCUUUAGUUAUCUUGGAUAGCUCUUAAAAUUAAUGUGACGCUAGUCGUUUCGGCCAUAAAGUUCAGUGUAUCUCAAUGACGCUAGGUUACAAUGUUCAGUCGAGAGAAUUAGGAACUACAUUACAGUGUUUUGAGAUCUAAUGCCCUUUAAGAAAGAUGGUCAUCACGAGUACAUGGCUUCUUAUCAGAAAAAUCACAGAAAUACCAUACAUCACAACAGUUGGCUUAUGGCUUACAAAUUAGAUUCGCCCAACAUAGAAAACAUCAUUCAAAGUAACGGCAUCCUGAGAUAGUCACUGUUCCUUUUCCCAACAAUUUUUGUAUGACCGACGGCUCCAAAAACAACAAGUCCUCCAGAAUUUCUGUUCAAUAGAAGUAAAUCCGAAUUUUUAUCUCUCGGUCAUGUGGCGGAACAAGCCACUAUCCAGAUACUCAAUGAAUAGUAAUUAUUGGUUAAGCAUGAGCGAAGUGUGAAUGACUAGGAUGGAAGAGUUCACCUUUGCGCAUCGCAAACUUACGUGAUUCUUGGGUUGCGUGAUUCACUUGCUUUUGGUACCGUGGUUGUCGAUGAUUUGAAUUGGCUUCCUCUUAUAGUCCUCCGUUGGUUUCCAUGCCUGUUUGCUUUGGCUUCGAUGUAUUUGUGUGUCAAGUUUGGUCUCUUCUUAUGACCUGCCUUCUUCUUUUGAUUGCAAAUUUCUUUAUGUGUCCUAAAACACCACAUCAUAUGACAAAGUUUUGUUAGUUCAAAUUAAUUUUUAGGAGCAGACAAACUUACCAUAAAGUUUUAGGAACAGCAUGUUCUGACUGAAUUUCCAUCAUCUUUCUCUCGUUAUCUUGAUCAAUAUAUAGUGCCGUUCAUCACCCAAGUCCAAGUUUAUGUUAUGUUUGACCUAGUCCAAGCAUCUUGUCAGUUUACUUGAGCGAGUACGAAAAUUGGUUCAAAUUCGAUUCAUUGAAUUGAAUCGUCUUGUGGAAUUCCAAUAUUUGCUUUUCUACUUCCGAGUAUUGCUUGGUGAGAAAAUUGGAUAUUCUCCAUCUGAGUCUCUUUUUCCUUCAAGUAACGACACUUCUCAAAUAAACGAGUUGUAUGCCUGGUCAAACAUCUUUUCUUGCUCUAGAUCCUUUGUUUGUGAGGCCAAUUUUGAAUUUUCUUGACUUCCACUCAUGUAGAUCGCCGCAGUGGUAUGUAGACCACCUCUUGAUUCAACAACCAAUUGUUUGAUAUGCUGCACCGAUGUGUCUUCCCGAUUUCCAUCUGAUGAUAUCUCCGAGAUCGAUCUUUCAUUAGGCGAUGAGUUAUAGAGAUAGGAUAUCGGAGAUCGUAUAGCAUGUUGAAAGUUGAGUUGCAACAGUGCUGGAUAUUACGGCAUGGAAGUGGAAAUCAUCCAGAUGAGGAAUCGUCGGGGCCAAGUAAUAGCUUGUAUCGACUUUCUGUGUUGCACGUUUUUAUUAGGCACGUCAGAUGCAAUAUGGCCAAAGCCCCUUAACACUUGUAGAGAAUGCCCUUCACUUGCUUUUUUCAUCUUUUGUAGAGUCCUUUUGAAAGUUAUACCGAUUCUGUAUUUGAUAAGGAAGAAGAAGACGAACCCCCUUAUUUGAUUUCGCUGACUUGGAAGAAGUAGACUUGGGACAGGCAACUUCUUUCUAAGUUUCUUCGAUGGAACUUUUGUUCAGAAGCGCUAGUUGCUCUUCUCAAAUGUCCCUCCAGGGCUUUGCUCCACUAAGAGAUGAUUAGCAAGUGAUUUGACAAAUAAUACCACCAAUUCCAUUGUUUGUCUGAUGCGUCUUUGCCGUCCUCGAUCGAUAGGAACGUGACAGUGUGUAUCCCUCGCCGAAUCCCUACGCAGCUGUGCAACCGGCCCAAUCUCGAAGCGUCCACCGAAUUCUCGCCUUCAACAGCGGCAAAAUCCACCGCGUCCGUAACCUCUUUCAGGAGCUUGUGAAAUCAGAGAGAUUUGUGUGAUUUAAGUUUGUGGUUACCAUAGCUAUGAGUGUUCGACUCUUUAAUUCAAACAUUACUUGAUUCUCGAUAUGAGUUUCCUCGAGUAAAACGAAGAAUUAAGCCGAUUGGUGAUUGUCUUAGAAAACCUCGCGUUAUGUGAAUCGAAUCAUUGAAACGGACAAAACAGUUUCUAGGUCUUAGAAUCAAGUAAAUUCAAGCCUUAAACUUUUUAGAUGACCACAAGGUUGGAUUUAUAUGUUUAGAAGCUAGAAUAGAUCAGAUCUGCACAAAGUCUCUUUUAAAAGUUCGUUGUCGGCCUCAGAGAACCGGCUCCUCUCGAGGUAUGACCGGGUCUUGAGAGACCGCUCUCUUCAAGUUGAGGAAUCGCGAUCCAUCGCUGCGCGUCCCAAAUACAGCACACGUUCGGCGAACCGGUCUCUCAGGCUUGAGAGUGAUCGCUCCUGCGGAUAGAAAUACCCAAGAUUCUUACGGUGUCUCAUCUCAGGGACGAUUGCAUCAAAGCUCACGCAGUGAGGACCUUAGGGGAACCGGUCUCUUGAACUCANNNNNNNNNNNNNNNNNNNNNNNNNNNNNNNNNNNNNNNNNNNNNNNNNNNNNNNNNNNNNNNNNNNNNNNNNNNNNNNNNNNNNNNNNNNNNNNNNNNNCAGAUCAACGAAACAGCAACAAAUCCUAUGGAUCAGAACGAGGUAACACCUUUAAGAAUAUCCAAUGCUUUUAUUGUAAGAAAUAUGGCCAUAUAGAAAGAUUUUGUCGUUUGAAAAAGGAGAAUAAUUCUCAAGUUGAUGCUAACUAUGUUGAAUCUGAUGUUCUUUUUGCUUGCUACACCGUAAAUACAAAUUUGGAAAAUAUUUGGUAUUUGGAUAGUGGUUGCAGUGCUCACAUGACAGGAAGAGACGAUAUAUUUAUCGAGUUGGACAGAUCGAUUCGAAGGCCGGUAAAAAUGGGAGAUGGUCGUAUUCGUGAAGCACAAGGUAAGGGAGUUGUAAAGGUAAACUUUAAUGGUAUCACAGAAAUAUCGGAUGUUCUUUAUGUUCCUGGUUUGGAUGCAAAUUUAUUCAGUGUUGGCCAAUUUCUUACUUUUGGAUAUUCUUUGGUGUUUGAAAAUUGUAAAUGCCUCAUUUUUAAAGAUAGCCAGAAAACAGAAUUGCUUGCUGAAGUUGCCAUGGCGAAAAAUAAAAUUUUUCCUUUAUAUAAUGAUUUUCGAAAUCUGGCUAUGAGAGUAUCUACUAAUGAAAAUUGGUUGUGGCAUGAAAGGUUCGGACAUUUAAGUUUUGACAGAUUAGAGAUUUUGUAUAAGAAGGAGAUGGUUGAUGGAUUGACGCAUAUUGCACCAAGUGACUCGACUUGUGAAAGCUGUGUACGAGGGAAGCAUCAUCGAUCUCCGUUUCCAAAGAAAAGCACGUGGAGAGCAAAGAAACCUCUGGCCCUCGUACAUGCGGAUGUUUGUGGGCCAAUGCAAACACUGUCUUUGAAUAAUAAUUUUUAUUUUGUUGUUUUUGUUGACGAUUUUAGCCGUAUGACAUGGGUUGAUUUUGUGAAACAUAAGUCAGAUACUUUUGCAUGCUUUAAAAAGUUCAAAAUAUGGUUGAGAAGGAAUCGGGCUAUUAAAUUAAAACUCUCCGUACAGACAGAGGUGGUGAAUUUAUUUCUAAUGAAUUUAACGACCCUUUACGAAGUGUGGAAAAGCUCAGAACACGAAACAAACACUCGAACCUUGCAAUUUGCAAAGGUCCAGUGUGUUACAUUCACCCCUCCUAAAAAGGAGUUUCGUCCGCGAAACUCGAAAGUAACGUACCUCAAGACUCCAUCUGAAAAAGAUGGGGAUAACGCUCCAGCAAGGCGCUCUCAAGCUCCCACGUGGCCUCUCGCUCCCCAUGGUUGCUCCAAAGAAUCUUCACAUACGGAAUAUCCCGAUUCCGCAGUUUCUUCACCUCGCGAGCCAAGAUCUUCACUGAUUGCUCCUCGAAGCUCAAGUCAUCCCGACCUCCACCAGUGUAGCAUCCAACACAUGAGUCGAGUCGAAGAUGUACUUCCGAAGGACCGAUACAUGAAAAACGUUGUGCACAUCCGAUAGGUUCGGUGGUAGAGCAAGUCGAUACGCUACCGGACCUCCACGCUCCAAAAUCUCAUACGGUCCAAUGAAACGGGGACUCAACUUACCCCGAAUUUCGAAUCUCUUGAUCCCUCUAGUUGGUGAGACCUUCAAGAAAACAUGGUCUCCAACUUGGAACUCCAAGUCUCGCCGUCGUCGGUCUACUCUGCGUUGUCAAAAGUCGCUCCCGAGCAAUUCGAACUUUAUCCUCAGCUUCCUAGAGCAUAUCUGGUCCCAAAGCCAAUCUGUCGCCCACUUCACUCUAAUGAAGUGGCGAUCUACACUUCUGUCCAUAAAGUGCUUCGAACGGUGCCAUCUUGAUGCUUGCUUGAUAACUAUUGUUAUAAGCAAACUCCGCCAUAGGUAGAUGCUGCGACCAUCCUCCCUAGAAGUCUAUCACACAUGCUCGGAGCAUAUCCUCUAAAGUCUGUAUGGUGCGCUCCGACUGCCCAUCACUCUGAGGGUGGAAAGCAGUGCUAAAAUCCAGUCGAGUGCCUAGGGCGUCCUGUAGACUCCUCCAAAACUGAGACACAAACCGGGUGUCUCGAUCUGAUACAAUCGACGUGGGCACUCCGUGAAGUCGCAUAAUCUCAUCAAGGUACACUUGUGCGAGUUUCUCCUCAGUCCAAGUAGUAUGAAUAGAUAUGAAGUGCGCCGACUUCGUCAACCUAUCCACGAUCACCCAAAUAGCAUCAUGCCCGGCCUGAGAGCGGAGCAAUCCAGUCACGAAAUCCAUGGUGAUCUUCUCCCACUUCCACACGGGAAUAGGCAAACUCUGAAGUUUUUCCGCGGGAACUCGAUGCUCACCCUUUACUUGUUGGCAAGUUAGACAACGAGCUACAAACUCGCCAACAUCCUUUUUCAUCCCGGGCCACCAAUAAAGCAACUUUAAAUCCUUAUACAUCUCGGUGCCUCCCGGAUGUAUAGCGUAGGGCGCUCGGUGUGCUUCUUGAAAAAUGUCCUCUUUAAUUCCCAAAUCUGCCGGUACACAAAUCCGUCGACGAAAACGCAUCAAUUCUUGGUCAUGCACAAGAAAAUCGCCGGUGCAACGAGCAACCAUUUUACCUUUAAUCAUUUGCAACUCCACAUCGGAAGCUUGCUUUUCUUUAAUACGAUCCAAAAGUGUAGGUUGCACAACCAACGUCAUCAACUUCAAAGGCGUGUCAGGAGUCACCACCUCCAACUCCAACCGUUUCAUCUGUUCGAUUAACUGCUGUUGAGUAAUAACAUGCAACGCUAAGUUUUCCGUUGAUUUCCUACUUAGUGCAUCCGCCACCACGUUAGCCUUGCUCGGGUAGUAUAGAAUCGUCAGGUCGUAGUCCUUUAGCAGCUCUAACCAUCUGUGCUGUCUCAAAUUCAACUCCUUCUGAGUAAACAAGUACUUUAAACUCUUGUGAUCCGUGUAUACUUCACAUCGCUCGCCAUAAAGAUAGUGGCGCCAUAGCUUAAAUACGAAAACUACGGCCGCUAACUCCAAAUCAUGCGUCGGAUAGUUUUUUUCAUAUUCCUUUAGUUGGCGCGAAGCAUACGCGAUCACUUUGCCAUCCUGUAUCAACACACAACCCAAUCUAUUAAGUGAAGCAUCACUAUAAACCACAUACCCUACUCCAGCCAUCGGCAGGGUUAGGAUCGGGGCGGUCGUCAAUCUUUGCUUCAACUCUUGGAAGCUUCUCUCGCAUGCAUCAUUCCAAAUGAAUUUGACUCCUUUAUGCGUGAGUCUCGUGAGGGGAGUAGACAGCUUGGCGAACCCCUCAACAAAUCUCCGGUAGUACCCGGCCAAUCCAAGGAAACUCCGAAUCUCCGUGACGCUCGUCGGUCUCGGCUAAUCCUCGAUCGCUUUAAUCUUCUUAGGAUCCACGGCUAUACCUGAUCCUGAUAUUAGAUGCCCAAAGAAAGCUACCUCUCGAAGCCAAAAUUCACACUUUUUCAGCUUGGCAUAAAGCUCCUUUUCCCGAAGUACUUGAAGUACAAGCCUCAAAUGCUCAUCGUGAUCUGCAUCACUUCGGGAAUAGACCAAAAUAUCGUCGAUAAACACUACGACGAACCUGUCUAGAUAAGGCUUAAAAACAUGGUUCAUUAGAUCCAUAAAAGCUGCCGGGGCAUUAGUAAGCCCAAACGGCAUAACAGUGAACUCAUAAUGUCCAUACCGUGUUCUGAAGGCCGUCUUCGAUACAUCCUCGGGUUUGAUCUUUAACUGGUGGUAUCCCGACUGCAAAUCGAUCUUGGAAGACACACACGAUCCCUGAAGCUGAUAAAACAAGUCAUCGAUCCUCGGCAACGGAUACUUAUUCUUGAUCGUGACUUUAUUAAGUUCACGAUAGUCUACACAUAGGCGUAGCGAUCCGUCUUUCUUCUUGACGAACAAAACUGGCGCUCUCCAAGGCGAGACGCUCGGUCGAAUAAAGCCUUUAUCCAGAAUAUCCUGUAGCUGUGCCCUCAGCUCCUUCAGCUCCGCCGGUGCCAUCCUAUAAGGCGCUUUCGAAAUUGGAGUAGUCCAAGGGACGAGAUCUACCACAAACUCGAUCUCCCUAUCGGGUGGCAUGCCCGGUAGCUCAGCUGGAAACACGUCACAAAACUUCCAUACUAUCGGAUAUCCUCAAUCCUAGGGGUAUCACCCUCACCCCUCAACACAACACUAGCCAAGUUGGCUACACAACCUCUGCUGAUCAGCUGCCUAGCUCGAGACGAGCUGAUCGACAUCGCAAAAAGCGAACUCUGGCAUCCUCUAAAUAUCACCUCAACUUGCCCCGGUUCUUUAAAAAUAACCAUGCAAUUCUUGCAAUCAAUCGUGGCAUAAUACUUGGUUAAUCAAUCCAUGCCUAAGACCAUGUCAAAUUCCCCCAGCUUGCGCAAGGCUAGCAAGUCCACAGGCAUAAUCCAAUCUCCUACCCGAAUAGGGCAACUAGGGCAAUACUCUCUAAUAUCCAAAAAGUGGUCGGGGACAACUACACGUCUCGAAUGCAACAAAGAAAGCAUAGGGAUGCCAUGCAACUCGGCUAACAGCCGAUCUAUGAAUGAAUGCGAUGCACUGGUAUCAAAUAAUGUACGAACUCUAAUGUCAUCAAGUAAAUGAUACCUGCAACCACAUCCUCGGCUGCUGCCGCCUCCUCGGCCUGAGCGGCAUACAUACGCCCACUCGGGGCCUAUCAAGAACCCUCGCUCUAGCGCUGGAUGGGUGGCCGCCCAAGCUGGUACUGCGCCGAUGGAGUCCCGUGGCUGGCAGCUGGUAGAGCCGGUGCCGAUGCAGUCGAUGGUGCCGGUGAUGAUCUCCUCGGGCACUCAGUCCGGAAGUGGCCCUUCUGGCCACACAAGUAGCACCUGCCUCCCCGCUGUGGGCACUGCGGUGGAGUGUGAGGACCACCGUAGAUCACGCACUGGGGAGGUCGGCGUUGAUCAGGACCUCUUCGCUGCGCUGCCGGGCCGCGCCCACGCUGCUGGCUCCUAGGGUGUUUCGGCGGCCUCCUAGAGUGCGUCUGGCUCGCACCCUCCGCCGCAGGCCUCUUGGCCUUACCCCUGUCCAAGCCCUCUCGCUGCUCAUGCAUCUCUGCCGCGCCGCUCUCCACGACGAGCGCGCGAUCCACCACCUCCCGGUAGGUUUGGAGGUUAGAGGAUUGCACGAACCGGAAGAUCGACGGUCGCAAGCCCCGCUCGAAGAUGCGGGCCUUGUCCUUGUCGUCCCGCACGACGAAAGGUACGUAGUGAAUAAGCCGAGAGAACUCCCUCUCGUACUCGGCUACGGUCCGAUCACCUUGGCGCAAGUUGCGUAAGUCCUGCUCCAUCUUCCGCUUGACACUAGUCGGGAAGUAGUGCGCCAACAGAAGCUCUUGAACUUCUUCCAUGUGAUAGCCGCCAAGUCUGUGCUGGGGUUUUCCUGAAGAUCCAAACACCAGCGAUAGGCCUCGCUGUCCAGAUGGUGAGUGGCGAUCCAAACUCGAUCCCUCUCCUUCACGAAGGUGUCGCGGAAGAGCUUCUCCAUAUGCAUCAACCACUUUUCCACUAUUCAGUGGUCGACCUUCUCGCCGUCGAAGAUCCGGGGACUGCACCUCCUGAACUCGUUGAGGCGCUCCAUCAGUUGGUCCCGCUCCGCCGCCUCAACCAACAUGGGAAAAACAGCUCCAAUCGGGGGUGCCUGAACAGGUGGCGCCGCCAAAGCCUCCUCUUGAGGCGCGGCCACGGGCGCCGCACGCGACGAACUGGGCGCAGGGGACGGCGCUCUCGGCGCGACGUCCACAACUAGUGCUGGAGGUGUAGGGGCCUGGGUCUCCCUGGAAGCUGCCGCCUGUUGCAGAAGAAGGUCCUCCAGGCGCUUCAUCCGUGCCUCCUGUCGGCGCGCCGCAUCAGCCUGCUGUUGGGCCGCCGCCGCCUGCUGAGCCACGAGAUCAGUAAGGGUCGCAAGCUGGCUGCUCAACUCACGGACCUCGCCGGAUCUGGAGGUAGCGGAGGUCUCGACCUCCUCCAACUUUGCGGCAUUAUCCGCUCCAGCAGAUUGAGAGCGUGUAAUCGGCAUCGUCACUACAACAUCAUAAGAGCGCAAGUUAGUAAAACCCACGCUAUCGCAUCCCCGCUCAAAUAGACAAUACCCAAAUCAUGCGGAAGUAAGGAAGUGUUCUUCACCACUAACUCCCGAUGUUACGUUGUCUGCCGCCAACGUAACCCUCCGCGAAGUUAGAAGCUAUACACUUCAAUUUAACUCCACUUUUUAGAGUUAUCAAAGAUACCCAAUCAAGAUACUUUCGCUUACAAGUCAAAUAGACCUCGUCUCUCACGAGCCUAUUUCCUAUAGUCCAACCGGCCUAAGGUUUGCUAGGUCCACUAAGACUUAACUCUAGGCUCUGAUACCAAAUUAAUCUGUCACGCCCCGAGACACAGCGGAAGCCCGCCCGGCACGUGCACAGACCCGCCAUACGUCUAAAAUUUAUAAGGCGUCUAAAACAAAACGAUAAAUGAGACAAUAAAAAAAAAUAUCUAGAAGUAUCAGAGCAAUAUACAUCAUCUAGAGACUAAAACAAUAUGAAGAGUAGAGAGCUAAAAUCACUAAUAACCAUAAAGUAGUACAACCAAAGAUCCAAAUACAAGAAUUAAAAGAGUACAUAAGUGGUCUCUAUACAUGGUAACACAAAUCUCUCGCUCUCCCAAAAUACAAAGAGAGGGAACAACCUAAGAGCAGAAAGUAAAUCCUCGCUAUCUAGCUAGCAACCCCUUGCCGCGGUCCUGUGCCUCCGCCGGUACAGAGGACUCUGAAAGAAAAAUAUAAAAUAGAGGGCGUGAGAACUAUUAAAUAAUAGUUCCCAAUGGGCAAUUACUGACUUCAAUGAAAUGCACCACUAGGCCCAAAACUAAGCAAGUAGGGUAAGUAAGGCAGGUAAGAAUAAUAUGAACAAAUAAAUCACUGAAAUGGAAGCUCAAUAUAGCAUGAUGUCACUACUUUCGUUAGUAAUAAUCUACCACAUGAUCUCUAUUUAGUAUGGAUUUGCAUAAGUAAUAAACUACCACAUGAUCUCUACUUAGCAUGAAUGUGCAUAAGUAAUAAACUACCAUAGCAUAAUUGCAGAAGUAUAGGCCCAACACAAUGAUCACAAGCUAGAAUGGUAAUGUGUCAUUAUCUACUAUUCUAGUCAAUGUCCAAAAGGUACAAUGUGUCACCAGUAACCCAAUCCUAUGGAAGCUACCCGUAGGUAGUCCGGCCUGCGCCGUGCCAACAAUGGUCCCGUGGUAGUCAACAUCCCCACUCUAGGAAUGGAAAAAUUCUAGAAUGCAACGGGUAUAUUAGUGACGUGGCGUAACAAACCAAUCAAAUUAAUCCUUUUAAGAAUAUAUGUCCCAUCAUGAUUGUAAAAAAGUAUUUUUAUUGUACUUUUGUUUGAAAAGAAGGAAUGUGAUUGGCUUGUUAUUGAUGACGUGGUGCAAGUGUGACAGUGUAGAAUUCCUCCUAGGAAUGAGCCUCCCCACGGCAUCCUAUUUUGGCGCCCAAUCCCGCACAGGCGAGCGUAUGUCGCGAUGGCUAUCUCCGGAGUGCCGACUGGUAGGAAGCGACCCUCACAAGUAUGUGCAAAUGAGCAUAAUGGCAUGCAAGCGAAUAAGUCCGUCUCAAGUCCCAGUGGUUCAUCACUGUUUUAUCGGAUCUAAAAUCCGAAAUACAGCACAUGUCCCAAAGGCCUGCCUCUAUGUCAUCGUGUCUAAAAUACGGAAUAUAGUAACUGUCUCAAUGCCCUAUCUCUAUGUCGUCAUGUCUAAAACAUGGAAUAUAGUAGAUUUCCAGUGGCCUAUCAUCAUGUCUCUAAGUUGUAGUUCAACAAUUUCCUAGUUCAAGUGUCCCUUUAUGACACUUUUGCUUACUAUGUCCCAAUAUGAAUAAUAAGUCUAAAAGCUUGUCAUUCUAAUCAUUUUCUACACAAGAAAUAUGAUCUUACAUCAUUCAUUAGAACAUUAAACCCAUGCAUACUAACGAUGCAUAUGCUUCUCUCUACAACAUAGAGUCAAUUUUUCAUGAUGCAUAAAAUAGGGGUUUUAAGCGUUCUACAAUUCACAUAAAUUUCAUUUAACAUGAAUAUGCAUGUAUUUAUAGUAUACGAAAAUAUUUAACCACAUAGGAGGCAUUUCCUUUCUUUCAAUGAAGCCAAACCCACCAAAGUCUUUGCGGCUCAUCGUAACCUCCGAUGAAGUUGCUCGCUACUCUCCUAGCACCCUAAAGGUAUAGAAAUGAGAGUUAAACGGACCAUACGAACAAAGCUAAGCUCAAACAUUAAGCUAUUUAAGCUAAGGUGAAGAAACUCACCGUACGCGAAGGAAUCUCUCUCGAUCUCCAAAAGGGAGCUAGAGUCCUUCAAAUCCAAUCUAAAUCAAAGUUCUAAACCAAUCAAUUUGGUUCUAGAAGCUACAAAUCCAAAAUCCCCAAUUCUAACCCUAAAAUCCAAAAUCUAGAGUUUCCUCUAGCAAAAUCCAUCAGAACAUGUAUUAAAAGGAGAAUACAUGUUACUAACCUCUCAAGAAGCUCCAAAUCAAGCUCAAAGUCCUCUAGGGUUGAAGGUUGAUCCUCAAACAAGCUCCACUCCCGAAAUCCAAGCUUCUCCCUUGGAGGAAUCCAACAAGAAGCAAAGAAGGGCAAAGGGGAGGGGAUCAAAACCCACAAAAAUUCAUAAAAAAUGGAAAAGAACUCAAGAGGGGGAGUUCUCACCUUGUUCUCCACUGAUCUAGGGCUCAAAACCCUGUCUAAGGGGGCUGGGGUAACAUAUAUGGUGUUGAACAAUUGCAAAAACACCCCUGCCCGAAAACUGCUCGCACUGCACUGUGUACCGGUACACGGGCUCGCGUACCGGUACAACAGCUGUGAAACAGCCAAACCCGAGCCUCGAGUCUGCACGAAAUUUGUCUGUGUACCGGUACAUCAGCCCCGUACCGGUACAGCCAUCAGCGCGUCCCGGUACAGCCAUCAACCCCGUACCGGUACACAGCUCUGCUGAGGCUACCUGAGAGCUGACCAAAAAUCCGACUUUUCGGAUUUUAGUGCUAGGUUUUAAACCUCCAAUCUCGGGGCUCGAACCAUGGGUCGGAAUACUGACAACGACCCUCCACGAAGUGUGGAAAAGCUCAGAACACAAAACAAACACUCGAACCUUACAAUUUGCAAAGGUCCAGUGCGUCACAACCGGCCCCGCCACCGGCAGAGGGGCGGCUACGGUUGUAGAUGGCAGUAGCGGCGGGGGCAUGUACGACAGCAGCAGCGGCGACGACCAUGAGGUGAAGAGGAAGGAUGAGGAGGAGGACGACGACAAGAAAGCAGAGGGAGAGAGAAGGAGGAGGGAGAAGAAGAGAAAGAGAAAUGGUAUAAAUUUCAUCGAAAUAGUGCAACUUUCGCCUAAAUAGUGUAACUCUCAUCUUAAAGAGUGUAAUUUUUAUUUCAAAGAAUGCAAGUUUCAUUUAAAACAGUGCAAUUUUUUUUGAAAAUAGUGUAACUUUAUUUUAACAGUGCAAUUUUAUCUUUUUCUUCCUUCUUCUAUGAUUUUAGUCUAUCCUGUAUGAAAAUUAAUUUUUUUAAUUUUUUAUUAUUCUUAUUUUUUUCUCUCUAUAAUUUUUUUGGUCAUGACCUCUCUCUUGCCCUCUAUCACAGCCACCGCCAUCGCCAGAUGUAGAUAUUUUUCUCCCCUUCCCUCGCCGGCGUGCUUUUCAGCCCCAAGAAGUACUUCCUCUUCAUCGCCGGCGGUGGCGGUGGGGACGGCAGGUUUGUUUGGCAAGUAGAAAAUCUGCUGCAAUGGAGGUAGCGGGCGAAGGUGGAGGAAGAUGAUGCAGUACCGUUCUCGAUAUCGUCGCGGAGGGCCGCGGAGGCAGUGGAGGAGGGUCGGAGAGAAAAGAAAAGACGGCGGGCUCGGAGGCGAGGAGGGCGGGGGGUGUGCGGGCGAGAGUAUGAGAAGCAGGGGGGAGGCGGGCCGUUUCUGCCUCCGCCGCCUUCUUCGGAGAGGAAAAAAAUGCGAGAAAAAAAAGGAGAGAGAAAAAAGUAUAAGGGUAUUUUGUUCAGCUUGCUGAAAAUUCGAACCAAAUCUGCAAAAUCGAAAAAGACAGCCCAGUUUUGCAAAAGCUCAAAACUUGUCAAUUUUUUAUGCAAAUUGGCCUUAAUUUUUAUGUAUUUUCUAAAUAAUUAAAUAUUUAUAUAAAAUAAAUAUAUAAUACUUUCUAUAGUUACUCAAAUAAUCACCACAGCUUUUUCAACCGACGAGGGGCAUAGAGUGACUCAUAUAAGAAGGUACUCCAAUACCCUUUUUUACUCUAGAGUGACUCAUAUAAAAAGGUACUCCAAUACCAUUUUUUUCUCUAUAAAAGUGAUAAAAGGUUAGUCCCUUCAUUUUUCCUAUGUAUUGGUCUAUGUUCUGUUCUUUUUGACAGUAAGAAUGGGAAGAAAAAAAAAGGUACUCCUCCGAUCACUGAAAAAUAUAAAGGUGAAAAUUAAGUCCCAAUAAGAUGUGUUUUCACACUUUCGAGGCUUUCCAGCAGAGGUUUUCAAGUUUAUCUACUAUGCUUUCUUCCAUGCAGGUCAACCAAUGCUAUCUCUUCUAUUCAAGCAAAUAGCAGGUCUCAGAUCUAACUCAAGUGUCAGGUGCAAAGUUAGUUAUCAUCCAAAUCAAGUCAAUAUGCUAUUCUUUUUUAGCUUCCUGCCUGGCUCACUUAAUAGCGCAAUCCGCAUAAAACUAAGAAAGUAAAAUAUCUAAAUUGAAAGUAGAAGGAUCAAGCUAUCUAUACCUAUACAUUAUUCCCCCAAAAAAAAGCCACAUGGCGGAGUUUCCUUCCUUUAGCGGAACCAACUUUUUGGCUUCCCUUCACCUAUAACAUCUAAUUAAUAGUCCACUAAGCUUAAUCUAACCCUUCGCCUUUCCUAUACACAUAACGUCAUCUUCCCUCCACCUAUAAUAUCUAAUUCUUCCCUCCACCUAUAACAUCUACUUAAUAGCCCACUCACCUUAAUCCAACCUUUUGCCUUUCCUACAAACAUAACGUUUAAUUAAUAGUCCACUCACCUUAAUCCAACCCUUCACCUUUCCUACAAACAUAACGUCUAAUUAAUGGUUCACCUACUUUAAUCCUAAUCUAAACAGUAAAUCGUAGAAACCUACGAAAAGCCCAAUCUCUUCUUCUCUAUUUUCUUUUCCUCCUCCAUGAGCUCCGAGGCUAAGAUCAAGCACGUUAUGUAGACGGAGUAUAAGUUUGCACGCUGUAUCAUCGAGCUUGGCGUUACCAUCUUCAUCAAAUCGAGCUUUCCUUCAAAUUUUAGGAGUUAUUUUAAAAGAUUAAUGUAUUCUUUAUGUUGUAUCGUUGAAAUUUCUUAGAUAGUUUUAUUCAGUUUUUUAAAGUUUUUUUUUAUUUGCAUGGUAUUCAAACUAAUGUGUUUGUUAUGUGGAAGAUUUAUUAUUUUUUCUUUUUCUAUCCUUUGUUUUUUAUAUUUUUUUUCUCGAAAGUAAAGUUCUGUAUUAUAUUUACUGUAUUUGGUUGUGUUAGGUUGUAUAUCUUUUUGUCUCUUAAAAAUUUAUUAUAUAACUUUUCAUAUGCUUUUUUUUUCUAUUUUCAUGACUCUUUUUAUUAACUGAUAUAAGCUGUUUAUAAAAUUAGAUUGAUAUAUGAUCUAAAAAGGUCUUCAUUUUCUUGAAGGGAUAAGUAUCUUAGCUUAUAUAGAAAAUGAAGGAAUAAAAAUAUAACUUAUACAAAAAAAGUUUAACUCUUUGAUUGUUUUGAUUUAUAAAAUGUUAAUUUUUAUUAGAUUUUUUAUCUAAAUCUCUCCCAAAUAGUAUGUCAUUUUUCGUCUCAAUAGGUUAACAUACUUAUUAUCUUUCUAUGAACAUUUUGUUACUAAUCAACUUCAGCAAAUUAAUAUACUUUUACAAGAAGCCAGUAUGCUUGGACUAUUUUGAUUUUUAAAAUAAUAAUAAAUUUUUGAUAUAUUAGUUAGACACUAAAUUUAUUUUAAUAGUAUCUACCCAUCGCAACGCACGGGUUACUACACUAGUAAUACAUGGAUAGAAUAGGGACCGUUUGUAUAUUUAUUUUGAGCAAUACUAUCUAUACACCGAAAAAUGGGUGUAAAUUCCACAAUCCCUUCAUCCGAUGGUAGAAUUUCUUCAUUAAUCAUCUCGAUGUGAUCUGUGAAGAUACCCAAUUGAUUAGAUUGAUGAGGUAUAAAAUAUACUCCCCAAAUGGGAUCUAUGGAUACUGUUGUAACAUUUUAUUAUUAAUUAUGAGAAUUUAAUUUUUUAACACAUGAAGUCAUGGUUAGUGAAGUUACAACUUCACUUUACUUGGAUUCAAUGUGAACUUUUAUAACCUAUACAUUUGAACCUACAUCAAAUGAAAUUAAAGUUAGUACAUUUACUUUUGUAAACUCCUAAGCCUUAACCUACAACUUAAGCUUCCACUAAAUUUUAUAUAACUUAUGGGUUUAAUACUCCUGUAACCUACAGGCUUGUGAGGCCUAUAUAUAGAGUUGAUUUCCAUUCAUUUAUAUACCACAACGGAAAAGCAACAACAAGUUAUUUUUAUUCUACUUGUGAGAGAGAGAAUGCCAAAGAAAUGUGCUCUUUGUGGAGCUUUGGGCUCAUCCACUUAUGCAGAGUUGUUGAAGCUACACGACGAGAGUCGAGCCGUUGUAUCCUAGAGAGAACAAGUCAAUGUUUGUUGUAUUUGUUCAAAGGCUUUGCCAACCGCAGGGGGCUUGAAUCUCCUUACAAAGAGUGAAAUUUUCAUUCCUCGAUUUGAUCAACUCGUCGACACAUUUUAUAUUAUUUUAUAGCUAACCUCUAUUUUUUUGAAUAUAUACACCAAUAAUUUUAAGGAGAUUUAAAAAUAGAGGCUACACGUGAAAAGUUCAACAAUACUACCGGAGAUACCGACCUUCCCUAGUGCAAGUGGCAAAAGGGCUUGGUGGUUGGUACCCAAGACCCAAGUUCGAAUCCUAGUUGAUUCACAUUUCUAGCUAAGUUUAUUUCUAAAUGAAAUAAACGAAGCGGGUAGCAUGCUACAUUUCUCUUAAAAAAAAAAAAAACUACUAGAGAUCUCAACAAGCCCUUCCGUUUCAACGGAAGCCACUUCAAGAGGUGGAAAGAAAAAGUAUUAUUCUAUCUCAAUUUGCUUAAAAUUGCAUACGUUCUUACGGAGAAGAACCCAAAGAAAAUAAAUACCGUUGAUAUAAAUGAAGACAAACUUCUCGAACACUACGAGAAAACUGAAAAAUGCGAGAAUGAUGAGUACAAUUGUCAGUAUUAUCUUCUCAACUGUCUUUCAGACCAGUUUUAUGAUUAUUAUGAAAAUACUUACUCCUCUGUAAGGAAGAUUUGGAAGACAUUGCAGCUUAAGUAUGAUACAGAGCAAGCUGGUGCAAAGAAAUAUGCUACUAGUCGCUUCUUUCGCUAUCAAAUGGUCGAAGGAAAGUCCAUGGUGGAACAAGUUCAAGACUUUCAGAUGAUCGCCAUGAAGUUCAAUCCGAAGGAGUCAAGUUUGGAGAUAACUUGAUCGUACUAGGAAUCAUCGACAAGUUACCACCAUCAUAGAGAGAAUUCCAAAAGACCCUUUAAUAUAAGCAAAAGGAGAUAUUUCUCGAGACAUUAAUUGCACGCUUUCGUGUGGAAGAAAAGACAAAAAGGCAUUAUGCACUUGAAGUAAAAGAGAAUGAUGCUAGCACUACUAAAGUAAACUUAGUAUCUUCUAAUACUUUACCUAAUAACAAUCGUUCUAGAAAUACAUACUUGAAGCCUAAGAAGAAAAUUGAAAAGAAUAGUGGUAAACCUUAUUUGAAGAAAAAUGACAAAGGACCUCCUUCUUAUGUAAAAAAUUCUAUAGUUUGUUUUGUCUGUGGCAAAAGUGGGCAUAUUGCUCGAAUUUGUAAAUUUCGAAAAUAUAAAGCUUUACCUCAAGCUAAUGUUAUUGAGGAGCCACUUGUGGUAAUGAUAACAGACAUAUGCUUAGUGGAGAAUACUGAAGAAUGGUGGGCAGACUCUGGCGCCAAUAGGCAUGUUUAUCAUGAUGAAACUUAGUUUAAAACAUAUACUCUCUCUAUGAACAACCAAGAAGUAUUAUGCUUGGUGAUUCACAUACUUCUAAAGUUUUAGGGAAUGGUGAGGUUCAGUUAAAAUUUUCUUCUAAAAGGGUGCUUAUCUUGAAAGAUGUAUUGUAUACACCCUCGAUUAGGAAGAAUUUGAUGUCAAGUUUUCUUUUUAAUAAAGUUGGCUUCAAACAGACCAUUGAGUCUGAUCAGUAUGUGAUUUCUAAGAAUGAAAAGUUUGUAGAUAAAGGUUAUGCAUGCGACAAAAUGUUUAAACUAAAUAUAGGAAUAAAACAUCAUAUACUUCUACUUACAUGCUUUCUUCUGUGAAUUUUUGGCAUGCUCGUUUGUGUCAUAUCAAUAGCGGAUAUGUUACUUUGAUGAGUAGUUUAGGAUUAAUUUCUAAACUGAAUAGUGAUUUUGACAAAUGUGAAACAUAUAGUAAGUCAAAAAUCACUAAACGACCUCAUAAGAGUAUUGAAAGAAAUACCGAAUUACUUGAGCUAAUUCAUAGUGAUAUUUGUGAAUUCGAAGGUACUCUAAAUGUUCAAUUUUUCCUCCUGAUCUUAAUACUAAUUUAGAUAAUAUGUACUUAACCAGGUCGGUCUUACAAACAACCGAUACUUCUACUGGUAAAAUAUAAUAUCUCAGUUUAGUACAUGCGUAAUAUAAUGCUAUGCAUAGUUUUUCUGUUGCCAAAUAACGUCGUUUGGCGUCUAACAAGUGUCGAAUGAGAUAAUAAAUAGCAUCUUCUUCCUUUUCACUUUUUUCCUAGGCCAAUAAACACCACAGAUUUUCUUUUGCAGCCAAUAUAUAUAACUUCAUUGGCUGGCCCUAUCGAGGAGGAAUAAAGACUGGAGGAUUUGCUAAAUAUCUUUUAAUAUUUUCAAACACCUCUUGUUGCUCCUCUGUCCAAAUAAACUCCUCUUGAUUUUUGAGCCGAAGUAAUAGAGUGAAUACUCCUAUUCUACCGGCUAAAUUAGAUAUGCAGCGUCGUAAGUAGUUUAUCUUUCCCAAAAAACUAUGUAAUUCCUUUUUAUUCUUAGGCGGUGGCAAUUCUAUUAUCGUCUUUGUUUUGUUUUUAUCUAUUUCAAUUCCUUUUUGGUGUACCAGGAAUCUAAGAAAGUUUUUUACUAAAACCCGAAAAGCGCAUUUUAAAGGAUUCAUUUUUAAGUUAUAUUUUCUCAUGUGCUCAAAAGCAAGUUCUAAAUUAGCAAUGAUUGGUUUGUGAUUUGGAUUUUACAACGAUAUCAUCGAUGUAAAUUCCAACAUUUUACCGAUCAAAUUAUGAAAAAUGAAAUUCAUAGCCCUUUCAUAAGUUGCUUCGACAUUCUUUAAACCGAAAGGCAUCACUAUCCAUUCAAAGGUCCCAAUAGAUCCCGGGCAUCUAAAAGUCGUUUUAGCUACUUCCUUUUCAGCAAUAAAAAUUUGAUUAUAGCCACAUGACCGUUCAUAAAGGACUAAAUUUCAUGUCCGGCUGCCGAGUCUACUAGCAUGUCAGUUAUGAACAUUGGAUAUUCAUCUUUAGGUGUAGCCAAAUGCAAAUUUCUAAAACUGAUACAAACUCUAAGUUUGUCAUUCUUUUUUCGUACUGGUACUAUAUUAGAUACCCAAUCAACAUAACGAUCCGCUCUAAUAAAUCCGACUUUUAAAAAAUUUUCAAUUUCAUUCUUAAUCUGUAGUACAAUACUCGGCUCAAACCUACGAGCUGGUUGUUUGUAAGGCAUAUACCUUUUUUUCAUAUGGAGCCUAUGUUCUACAAUUUCUCAGCUCAGUCCUGGCAUUUCUUCAUGUUCCUGUCGAACCCCCAACCGAAGCUUCUACUUCGGCUUCCAUGCUAGUGCCCGAGCCAGUUAUACCAGUUCGAACAAGAUCUAAACCAACCUCGAAAUCGGUUCUUUCUUGUACUGAUUUUCAUGUUCCAAUUUUGAACUGUUUCAAAUUGGUUUUGCAACCUGAUUAACUAAUUUGGCUAUGAUCGCAAUUAGGAUAGAGUGAGUGGCGGUGAAGAUUUGAGAGAAAAAUCGAGAGAAGAUGCACAGAAAAGAUGGAACGAUCUCUAGGGCUUCCGAUAAAGUAGGAGGAGGAAGCUCAAUAAGGUUUGAUGGAGAAUGUUAGAAUAGAGUAGGGAGUGUGAGAGAAGAGGGUUGGAGGAAAGUCGAGGGAGGAGAGGUGAGAGAAGAAGAGUGGAGUCGAGUCAAGGGAGGAGUCGCAGAGAUGAUUGAAGCCCUAGAUCCAAAGGCGUCGUGAAUUUGGACCUAGAAAAUCACACAGAAGGAUAAACCAAAAUCAACCCCUAUUAUUUAGAACCAAAACUAGAAACCAGAAAACACAGAAAAGGGUAAACCGAUUUAAUCUGCUAGUUUUCUUGAAAUCUAGAAAUUGAACCGAACCAGCUUUUUAAAAAAUUCACCUUUCUGCAUUACAAUAAAAUUGCUUUUUAGCGGCAAUUUAAUAGCGGCGAUUAUCAAACGGCCACUAUUGUACUAUUAUCUUAUUGUAUUUUAGCGAUAAUUAUUUUAAAAUACAUAUUUUUAUCGACUAUUAUUUAUAUAUUAAAUAUAAUCUAACCCAACCUCAACCCUACACCAACCCACCCGAACCCACCCCUCUCUCUAUCGCGACCUCCUUCGCUCGCGAGCCUAGUGUCAGGGACUUAGAAAAACUUCUAUGCAGCCCGGUCUCUGGCCCAAAUCUGCUUAGCGAGUUCGGGUUGAAGACGGGUCGAAUCGGGUUAUCAAGUAGGCUCAAACCCAACCCGCUGUGGGAAACACAAGGGUUAUGAAACUCAUGGGAGUUAUGGGUGACUCUUGAGCUUUUGGCAUUUAUGAGGGCUCAUUAUGUGGGUUCAUUAUGUAUGUAGUGGGUGAGUUGAAAAGGCACAUUUAGGCCUAUAAAUAGUGGGGUUGGCUAAGGCCAUGACACACAAGAGAGAGUGUGUUUGUAUGCUGUUUGCAGGUUGUAAUUCUCAUUUCUAAGUAGUGUAGUACUUAGUUUUUUGAGAGAACCUCUGCCUCUUUCUCUUUGUUAUUUUCCUUUGCAUACUUAGUCGUAGGACGCGAAGGUCCGGGCUAGCAACAGGGACAAAGGCUUGUCCAUCUUCGAGCAGGAAAGGUGGGCGCCGCACGGGCUUUGCGAACGAAACCGCUAAGUUCGUGACACUAGGCUCGCGAGCGACCCGUUCUCUCCCUCCCCUUCCCCUCUCUCCGAGCUCGAGCUCUGCCCCCUCCUUCACCUCCGAUCUCGAUCUUCUCGGCCCCGACCUCCGAACUCGUUGAAGACGCAAUUUAACAGCGUCUUCUCUAAGCUCCGAUGCCGAUCUUCUCGGCCCCCAGUGCUUCGAGGAGAUAUGCCGCCGACGGUGUCGCCCUCGGCCUCCUACUCCACGAGCGCGGCGGUGCUCCGACCACCUCCCUCCGCCGCCACACGCCAACGACGGGGUUGGUGCUCCGCUCGGCACCAAAGGGCCCGCUCUCCCCUCCCUCUCCAAGGCCUGGGCGGACGAAUUGGCGCCGCUGCCCUUGUGGUGGUCGCCACUGCCCCUGCGAUGGUCGCCACUGCCCUUUCCUCGUGGCCCAAUCUUCCGUCGUAGCGUAACUCUCCAAGCUCGAGGUAUCCGAAUCUGUUGAUUUUAUUUUCCCGAGUUACCUGGCGGAUUGUUUAUUUUGUGAAUCUUCUUUGUUCUUGAAUUCGCGAUCAACGCUCCUAUUUUCGUAAUAGAUAUUAAGAGUAGAAGAUUUAUGAACAAUCUAGUUUUUAGUUCAUGGGCAUUUGCACAAGCUGCAGAAUAUGAUAUUUAUAUGAAACAAACCGAUUGCUGAAUCACAUGAGAAAUAAACCAGUCGAGGCAUACACUAAUAAUGGCAAUAUAAAUAAAACCCAGUAAACUAUUUAUGUCACACAACACUCGUUACAAGAGCAUACCUUUUCGAAUUGUACAAUGUCCGAUUCUAUAUCAUUGAUUUGUGGGUCUGCUUGAUGUCUAGGUGAUAGAGCUUUAAAAGUUAUAGCUUUGCAUACAUAGGUUCUUUUGAUGAUGUAGGUCAUAAACUGUUUAUCUGAUUAGAUUUUGCUUUUAAAAUGUUGAUCAUCGAAAUUUGAUUGUGAAGCAAUAAUUUCUCUUAUUUUGGUGGGGUUUUGUUUAUCUUUGGGUUUAGAAUUGCCUACCACGUGUUUGAUUAAAUGCUUAAUCGUGUUGGCUUUGUAAUUUUUAUGGUAAUAUGGAGGUGAAUUGAAGAGGGUUCUUUCGCAAGAGACUCGAUUGGAGCCGCAGGAACAGAGGAUCCUGUUUAGAGGGAAGGAGAAGGAUAAUGAUGAGUGUUUGCACAUAGCGGGUGUGAAGGAUAUGGAGAAAGUAGUCUUAUUGGAGGACCUAGCAAGCAAAGAGCGGAAGCUUGAGCAGAUAAAGAGCGAACAGGGGAUCACAAAGGCUUGUGAGGCCAUCGCGGUUGUGAGGGCUGAGGUCAGCAAGCUUGCUGAGAAAGUGAAUAACCUCUCUCUCUCUCUCUCUCUGUGUCUCCCUCGUGCACGCGCGCUUGUUAGAUAAAAGGUGGGUUUCUUUCUUGUCUUUGGCAGCAUGUUUAAUGGAAAAUUUUGACAACUUUGUGCAGGUUGCAGCUUUGGAAUCUGCCAUUCAUGAAGGCAAGAAGGUUGCAGAUAAGGAGUUUGUUGUUUUGACAGAAUUGCUGAUGGUUCAAUUGCUGAAAUUGCACAGUAUUGAGGCAGAGGGUGAGGCAAAGGUGCAAAGGAGGAUCGAGGUAUCUUUAAUUUUCACUCUUUUAUCUUUUUUGGAACAUUAAAUUAUUACUUGAUAUUAAAUAAUUCUGAAUUAAUUUUUUUUUUUUUUUGAGAAAUAGGUAGCACGCUACCUGUUUCAUUCAUUGCAAGGAUGAACUAGGCUACAUGGGUGAGACAAUGGCGACCUCAGAAGUGGGGGCGAAAAAAAAAAAAAAAAAAAAAAAAAAAAAAAAAAAAAAAACAACAACAACAACAACAACAACAACAACUUGGACCCAAAAUUUGGUCCCAAAAUACUACGAUCUGCCAGCCAAAACUUGGUCCCAACACUUCGUCAUCUGAUUAAUCCUGUGGACUGCUUGGAGGGGGUCCGGAUUACUUUUCCUAAAAAUCACACCGUUCCUAGCCUCCCAAAUAAUCCACCAGCAGGCUAUCAGUCCGGGUAUAGUAGUAUGUAGUCGUUGUGUUUCCUUCAUCGUGAUCUCGCAAUCCCAGACUGCGGUCGCCUCAUCUACCCUAUUCCCAGGCAGGGCGUUCUCCAUACUCAUCACCAUUAGGAAUCUUGAGAACACACACUGCGCAAAUAAAUGGUCGACCGUUUCCUCUUCAGACCCGCACAGCACACAUACAGUAUUUCCAGUCCAGCCUCUCUUGAGGAGGUUGUCAGCAGUUAGGGGCCGCUUCUUAAGGACGAUCCAGGUAAACACUUUUACUUUUAGUGGAACUCGAAAACUCCAGAUUUUACUACUUCGGUCAUCCCUAAGGCCCCCGUCAUUCAACAUCGAGUAGACGGAUUUCACCGUGAACCUCCCAUCAGGGCUCCAUCGCCAGUUAACACUAUCUGGUUGGUCCUCAAGUUUGAAGUUGGAUAAGCAGUCCCUGAGAGCUAGGUAGCAAGUAAUCUGCCCAAGUCCAUUGGGGGUAGCCCCACCACCAAUCUUGUUCCAGUCCUACUCGUGAGUGGUUAGCCAAUCACUGACUUUGAAGUUUUUGCAAUGCGAGAGAGAGUAGAUUUCGGGGAAGACCGAUUGCAGCAUCUUAUCUCCACACCAACGGUCGGACCAAAAAUCGAUAGAAUCGCCAUAUCCCAGUUUGUGUAGGGCCCCCCAUUUGAAUAUUUUUUUAAGUCCAAGGACUCCUUUCCACCAAUAAGAGCUGGGUCGGAAGGAUUUGCCCUCCUUAAGUGGUCUUCUUCUGUGAUAGUACAAGUCGUGUAUUAGUUUAUUUCACUGUAGAUGUGGCUCCGAGAAGAAUUUCCACCACCAUUUGGUCAAUAGGGCGUGAUUCAUUGUGCCUAAAUCCAAAACACCAAGUCCCCCCUGUUUCUUACUCUUGCAGAUGUUCUUCCAAGCGACUAGGCAGCCCUUACCAGGUGCAUUGCUUCCACCAUUCCAGAAGAAGUCUCUACGUAGGGCCUCAAUUCGCGCAAUUACUCAUUUGGGCGCCUUGAACAUUGAUAGGAAAUAAAGGGGAAGGUUAGUUAGAACCGCGUUCACUAGGAUAAGUCUGCCAUCUCUAGAAAGAAGUUUAGCUUGCCAUCCGUCAAUUUUACGUUGAAUAUUUCGGAUGAUGUCCAACCAGUCUUCCUUUGAGGGACGGCGGUCAGCCAGCGGCAAUCCAAGGUACUUGGUUGGCAGGUUGCCAACUUUACAGUUGAGUACAGUUGCAAGUCUAGCCGCUUUCCCUUCCACCUUCCCAGUGUAGUAUAAUUCAAACUUCUCCCUAUUAAUUUUCAUCCCUGAGGCCCAUUCGAAGAGUUGCCAUAAGAACUUGAGAUUUCGCUUGUACUUUUUCUUAGCCUCACAGAAGAAGAAUGUAUCAUUCGCAUAUUGGAUAAGGGAGAUUUUUGUCGCUUCUGAAGGUUCGAGUCCUUUAAAUAGGUUAUUGGAGAUGGCCUUGUGCGUCAUUCGGGCAAGGCAUUCUGCCACCAGGAGAAACAGUAACGGAGAGAGCGGGUCGCCCUGCCUGAUCCCUCUCUUCGUCUUUAUCCAAUUGGUUACGUCACCAUUCACCAAGAUAGUUACCUUGGCUGAGCAAACACAGAGCUUGAUCCAACUACACCACUUAUCGUCAAAGCCCCACCAUUCUAACACCUUAAAAAGGAACGGCCAGUAGAUCCUGUCGUAAGCCUUUUCAAAAUCCAGUUUAAUACCUACGCCCUCUAAGCCGAGUUUAUUACCCCAUCCUAUUAGCUCAUAAGUUGCGGCAAAAGCAUUAGUAAUAUUCUUCCCCUUCAGGAAGGCCGAUUGGGAGGACCCUAUCAGAUCGCACAUAACUAGCUCGAGGCGAUUGGUCAAGACUUUCGAAAUAAUUUUAUGUAUCCCGUUCAAUAAGCUGAUGGGUCGGAAAUCAGUCGCUCGCUUGGCCCCUUCCCUCUUAGGGACUAAGCAGAUAAAAGUGUAGUCGAAGGGGCCAGUGUCCAAUUUUCCGUCAAACUUUUCGUGGAAGAUACUCACGAUAUCCUUCUUCAGGGUCUCCCAGAAUGUUUGAUAGAAGCUCAGCGGAAACCCGUCUGGACCUGGCGCCUUAUCCCUUCCUAGUUGGAAAACCGCUGUUUUGAUUUUCUCCACGCUGAAAGGUCUAGUAAGAUGGGCGAGGUUGAAGUUCGAAACUCGAUUCGAAUCAAACAGCCCACUCGAGUCGCCAAAGGUCGACGGAGCUAAGUCAUUCGGUGAGUAUAGUUUCUUAAAGUAUCGGAGGAAGUAUUGCUUUUUAUCCUCCUUCGUUCGGUAUACUUGACCUUCCUCUUCAACCAUACUUAUCUCGUUCACUCUUCUCCUACCGUUGGCUAUGGCGUGAAAGAAUUUAGUGUUUCCGUCCCCUUCUCUUAGCCACUGUUGCUUGGCCCAAGUUCUCCACAGGGCUUUUUCGUCUUUCAGUACAGAAUUUAAUUUACUCUUAAGUUCCUCCCUUUUAGCCCUUUGUACUGGAGCUGGUUCUCGAAAUUCUUUCUCUUUAUCAAUGUCCCGUAUAUCCCCUUUUAGCCUAAGUUUUUCCCCUCUUACACUAUGGAACUGAGUCGCACACCACUCUUUGAUUCUUGUCCUACAAUGUCUUAGUUUGGUCGUGAAUGUGAUAAUUCAUCCAUAUAGUCUUCAUACAUGGUUGGACCAAAACGAGUGCAGAGUGCUUCUACGAAAUUCGUCCACGCUACAACUCCACUGCUUUUCUCAAACCAUUGAAACCAUUGCAAUGCUUCCUUCUCCAUAUGGUACGAUGCAAGUGGAACUUUUUGCGCGUCCAGUAUUUGAUUAAAUUUAAAGAAUUGCUCUGCUCGAUACACCCAUCCAGUUGGAUCCUCGCCCUCAAAUCGGGGAAACUCCAGUCUUGUGACACGAGGUAUCACCAUCAUAGAGUUCUCCAUAGUAGGAAUCAAUGUUCCUUCCUUGAAGGGAGUAGGAAGAAGGGGACGACUUUUAUCGGAACUUGCGGCGGAUGUAUCUUCGGACGGUGCUUGCGGUCGCACAUCUAUCUUUGUAUUCAUAGCGAUAAUUAAAUUUUUAAGAUCGUUAAUAGAAUCGUUAAUGGACCUUACCUCGGUCUCCAGUUUGUUCAAUCGAGUAUCAACGUUGUUUAUUUCCUCCCGUCGUACAAACUCCCCAUCCAUCCUUCGUAAGGUUUCUUUUUUGCUCGAGUCAGGACCAUACAAGCUCUGAUACCAAUAUUAAUACAAGCUCUUGGUAUCAGAGCUUGUAUGGUUCUGACUCGAGCAAAAAAAGAGUCCUUACGAAGGAUGGAUGGGGAGUUUGUACGACGGGAGGAAAUGAACAUCGUUGAUACUCGAUUGAACAAACUGGAGACCGACGUAAGGUCCAUUAACGAUUCUAUUAACGAUCUUAAAAAUUUAAUUAUCGCUAUGAAUACAAAGAUAGAUGUGCGACCGCAAGCACCGUCCGAAGAUACAUCCGCCGCAAGUUCCGAUAAAAGUCGUCCCCUUCUUCCUACUCCCUUCAAGGAAGGAACAUUGAUUCCUACUAUGGAGAACUCUAUGAUGGUGAUACCUCGUGUCACAAGACUGGAGUUUCCCCGAUUUGAGGGCGAGGAUCCAACUGGAUGGGUGUAUCGAGCAGAGCAAUUCUUUAAAUUUAAUCAAAUACUGGACGCGCAAAAAGUUCCACUUGCAUCGUACCAUAUGGAGAAGGAAGCAUUGCAAUGGUUUCAAUGGUUUGAGAAAAGCAGUGGAGUUGUAGCGUGGACGAAUUUCGUAGAAGCACUCUGCACUCGUUUUGGUCCAACCAUGUAUGAAGACUAUAUGGGUGAAUUAUCAAAAUUACAACAAGGACCUACUCAGAGUGUUCGUGACUAUCAAGCUCGAUUCGAAAUGCUAGCCAAUCGCACUUCAGGACUAACUGAGGCAUUUUUCAUAAGUUGCUUCGUUAGUGGGCUGAGGGAGGACCUAAAGCAUGAUGUCCGAGCCUUCCGACCAACUUCUAUGUCAGCAGCCAUCGGUCUUGCUCGUCUACAAGAGGAAAAGUUGAUAGCUCAACAUCGUAUUAUAAAUUCUAAGCCUUCUCUUUUGUCUGCCUCUACAACACCAAUGUCUAAUGAGACGCUUCCACCUAUAAAGCGCCUCACACCGGCUGAAGCGAAAGUAAGAAGAGAUCAAGGCCUUUGCUACAAUUGUGAUGAAAAAUAUAGACCCGGACAUCGAUGCAAAUCAAAGCAACUAUUUUUGAUCGAGGCCGAACCUGAUGAAAAUAGAGAAGAUGAUAUAAAAGGAUUAGACAAGCUUGAGGAUUUUCCACCUUGAGGACAAGGUGGCUUUCGAGGGCGGAGGAGAUGAUGCGACCCCAACUUUCCUUUUUAAUAGUUUCCUUUUAAUAAACAAGUUCAAAUUUAAAUAUCUUGUUAUUUAGAAAUAUAUUUAGGAAUAAGCAGUUAUCUUGUUUGGGAAUAGAUUUAUUAGGUAUGAUUAGGAGUAGUUUAAGGAUUUUGACUCUAUAUAAUGUAACCCGGAGUUACAAGAAAUAAGAAAGUAAUAUUGUCUCUUUUCCCUCAUAGAAUCCCAAUUGUCAAUCCGCUUAUCCCUGUAGUAAUUGCUAUAUAAUGUGGCUAUUCCUAUUGCUCAUGUUUAAUUGUAUGAAAGACACAACGUAGUGUGAUUUGUUGCUCAUGUUUAAUUGUAUGAAAGACACAACGUAGCCUGAUUUGUGGCUCCAAACAGAUUUUGGCACGGAAUAUAGAUUGCUUGAUUAGCUAUAGCUUGUUUUACUAUGUGAUAGAACUAGCAUAAUAUAGGUACUGAUAGUUCAGUUGCAUCUAUCUAGAUUUUAUUUUAUUUUCUAAUGGAUAGAGUUGACGGUGACAGCGAGGAAUUACGAGCGGAAAACAAGAGAUUUUUUGAAGCCUUAAAGAUAGAAUCAUGGAAGAGGAUAUUAUGAACCAGUUGGUUGUUAGAAGCUUAAUGAGGAAUAUAGGAAAUUAAAUAUGAGAUUCUUUCACUAAUUAAAUAUGAAAUUUCAGGGACGAGUUGAAGUCAUUCAAGAAUUUUGUUCAAAAGCUUGAAGAUGAUGUAUUGCCAAAUGAAGCAAUAAGGAGGUACUCGUCUCCUAUCUGUUUCCUUAUAUAUAGAAUUGUGUUUGACAAGCUUAGGCCCUCUUUGGGUAUUGUUGCCAUUUUUUUGUUUCUAUAAACAAAAUUUUAUAUGAUUCAGUGUGCCAAUUGGUGGACUUCCCUACUCUUUUCAUUGUUGGCUGACCUGCAACCCAUCCUGGCCAAAUGCCAAAAGUCGCUACUAUGUUUUUGUUUUCUGUUGCCGAACAAAACUGUAAACUGCCCCCACACUCCAUUGCAUAGAAUGUGUUUUUAUAAAAACAAAAACGGCAACAAUAUCAAAUAAGCCCUUGGUUUUAGAAUGCUAAUUUGAGUUUUAUUCUGGUUAUCUAGGUAUUCGCUAUACAUUGAAUCUUAGAAACGGGCUUACUUUGAGGUCCAGAAGACAGAGGAGUGGUAUAUGACGUUUAUCUUUCUAGAAUUUUACAUUUACUUUUGAAAGAAACUAGAAAAAAAAAAUAUCUUUUCAAAAUUUUACAUUUACUUUUGAAUGAAACUAGAAAAAAAAAAGGAAAGUGAAAGGUAACAUUUUCUAUGCAAUUAAUAAAUCUGUAUUUUGGUAUAGGCUGAAAAACAAGUAUCAUCCUUCUAAUCUGAUGGCCAUCGUAGAAAGGUGAGCAUACUCAACAUCUAGAAAGUACUGAACUGCAACAAUUGACAUACCUUUAACAGCAAUGGUAGCAUUUGCCUUGACAUACUCAAGGAACAGUGAAGCCCUGCUCUGAGUAUUUCAAAGGUAUUAGUUUUAUGCCGAGUUAUAUUCUUUCUAACACUUGGAAAAUCAACUUGUGCAGAUUUAUCAUGACUAAUUUGAUAAUUCGAUUCUGUUCUGGAAACUUUCUUUGAGUGGUUUUAUAAUAUUUGUAUUUCAUCCCUGAUCUUUUACCAAUUUAAAUGAAAAUUACGCCUUUCUGACGUUUCACUUUUCUGCACAUAACUCUGUGCCUGUUUGGCCUAGUAUUAGAGAUAGCUUUAUUGUAAGCUUUUCAAAUUUUGGAUGUUGCAGAAAGCCUAGAUGCCUCUUUUGGGCCCAAAAGCACAAGCUCCAAUAUGAAGCUUAUGCUUUUUAGCUGCUCUAGAAAGCUAGUUUGGGCAUCCUAAUAAAAGCAGUGUUACUGAACCCUGGACAGGCAAGUGUGCUUACAAUUAUUAUUAUUAUUAUUAUUAUUAUUAUUAUUAUCAUUGUUAUUUUUCCGCAUCUGAGCAACUUGUGAGUUCAUCAUCUAUUGACACUUGGCUGAGCAACUAAAAUUUCUGGUAAAUUCUAAAUAUAUUUUCUUAGCAUAUUUGUUAAUAAUUUUUUAACCAUUAUUCAUAUAUGUUUUUCUUGCAGAUUAUUCUUCUCAAGCCCAUAGAUCUUUUCUAUUGGAAUCUUCACUCUUUAAGGAUGAGUCUUCGUGAAGUGUAGUUUGAACUUCUCUAUUGGAGUGCAUAGAACUUUUUUUUAGCCUAUAAAACUCUUUAAUUACAUAUUAGUCUUCUUAUAGUUCAAAUUUUUUUAGCUAUCUAAUAUUUGAUUUACAUUUAUUUUAUGAUAAAAAUUGAUUUUGACAUUUAUUUGUACUCAUAACAUUUUUGAGAAUGUAAUAGGCUUCUAUAUUCAGUUUAUUUGAUAUUCAUGAAAUGUUGGAUUUUUAAUUUUUAUUGUCUAUACAUUAUUUUUUUGAAAGUUUUAGUAAUUAAUUAAAUAUAUAACUUUUAAUGAUUAUUUAAUAUUUAUUAUAUUUUAUGGUUAUUUAUCUUAUCUUUGUUGGCAUUUGUGAUUAAUGUUACAUAUUUUAUGGGCAAAUGUAUUUUGCUUUUAAUGGCCUUUUUAAUUGCCGGUAUAGAGUAAUCUUUAGUGGCAAUUGUUUUGUUUUUUACCGGCCGCCAAUAUAAUUACCGCUAAACUUUUACCGAUCUCAUUUAUAGUGGCAAUUAUUACAAUUGCCGGUAAAGAGAGUAGCGACGAUUAUAAUCUCCGCUAAUUUAUGAGAUAAUUGUCGCUAAAAGACAAUUUUGUUGUAGUGCCGGUUCCAUUUUGGUUUGGUUCUUGGUUGAGAUAAAGACCUGUUCUUGAAAUGUUUUUUUGGGAUUGAGAAAAUAAUUUUUGACCAAUAUUUUUGUCGAACCGAGCAUACUUUUAACCCGACCGAACUUUCCUUUGUGAAAUUAAGGCAUCUUAGAUUUGUUAUAUCUCUCUUACUAAAAUAUCACUCCCUCGUCAAAUCACAACGAAUUCUAUCCUUGACAUUAAAUACUUAGGCUAGAAUGUGCAAUAUUCAAAGUAAACAAAUAAUCAUGGAAAUGAGAUACCGCUAGUAAGGAGCUGUUCUACGCGUACAGUGCUAAUGCUUUGUCAUACUUUAUAUAGAAAUUAUAGCUCUGGAACCGAAAGUGAGUUAUAAUCUUACAAUUCCUAUCAUCCAGUGGCACUUAUAUUUUUACUAUAUAUUCUCAUCAUCUUUCCUUUUUAUUAGUAAAAUUCAAUUCAAGAAAAAAAAAUUUAACGCGAGGAGAUAGGAUUACAAUCCUUGGAUCAAUAGUUGUAAUCCUAUAACCCACUUUGGGUAGUAGGCUUAGCAUUUCUCUUCACACUAUGCUUGAAACAAAUUUAAUAAAAUCAAUUAAGGCCAAUAAAACGAUAUAUAUUAACUUAUGAACUUGCAAGCUGUGGGAAAACAACAGUAACAUCAAUUAUAAUAAUCUUAAUUGCAACCACCACCGUACACUGUAUAUAUAUCUAAGACGUACUCUUGAGACACAGUAAUUAAACACGAUCUUAAUUUAUUACACCACAAAUAGAUAACUCUCUCUCUCUCUCUCUCAAAAUGCAAAGUAACUUAAAAGACAACAACACGAAGCUGGAGAGCUUGAGCACACCACCACCAUACAUCAACAGCUUCUACUUCUAAGGAUUUGCUUCAGCUUUAGCAGGAGGAAAGAAGUGGUGCUUCUUCUUGAAGAUCUUCUUCAGAGGGUGAGGGGAGUAAGGAGGGAACUUAUGGAAGUGAGGAAACGGCUUGGGAUGCAGGUGGUGGAAGGGAACUGGCUUGUAGACCGGGGUGGGUGGCUUGUAAACCGGAGUCGGCGGCUUGUAGACCGGAACGGGCGGCUUGUAGACCGGAACGGGGGGCUUGUAGACCGGAGUCGGCGGCUUGUAGACCGGAACGGGGGGCUUGUAGACCGGAACGGGGGGCUUGUAUGUAGGCACGGGUGUUGGUGACGGAAGCGGCUUCUUGUAGACGGGAGGGAAAUAGUGAGAUUUUGGAGGGAAAUCGAACUUGUGGUGCUUGUGGAACGGGUCAAACUUGAAGGUGGCGGAGGUGCACGUUGCCGACGCGAACGAGAGCGGCCCGGAUGCCGCGGUGAACACGCGCUCGCCGCCGUUUGCUUUGGCGGCGGGAAUUAGCUUCGAUGGUUUUGCAGGGCACGGGGUGGUGGCUUCAGGGGACGCCGUGGAGUGGAGCUCUACAAAGCAGUCGUGGUUGAGGUCGUCGGCGUCGGCGGCGAGGGUGUCGGCGGGGAGAGGGAUGUUGAAACUCCCGGUGUUGUCGAGCUCGCCCAUGGCUUUGGUCUCGUAUAAGCCCGUGGCGGCUUUGCA
Molecule: long non-coding RNA, 65748 nt
Filed under: Ananas comosus (pineapple)
Lineage: Eukaryota; Viridiplantae; Streptophyta; Magnoliopsida; Poales; Bromeliaceae
Description: long non-coding RNA (ACOM_LNC005635)
Source: RNAcentral